RNAcentral lists this long non-coding RNA (60629 nucleotides) under Coffea arabica (coffee). Its description in RNAcentral is "long non-coding RNA (CARA_LNC007494)". The record is from RNAcentral. Lineage: Eukaryota; Viridiplantae; Streptophyta; Magnoliopsida; Gentianales; Rubiaceae.
GAACUUAGCAGUAGUCUGGGCAAGGACUAGCGGCUAAUCAGUUGCGAGCUGGAUACCUCUGAAGCAGUUGACUGUCCACCGGAUCUAGGCGCAGAAGUCUUUAAUGUGAAACACUCAAGUCCUAGCAGUAAAGCUUCUAAAAUAACAUUCAUGUGGAAGUAUGACGCGUCCCAUCCGAGGUGAUAGCAACAGAGGUAUGAUGUGUCCCAACUCCCAACAGAGGUUUAUACUGUAGUCGAAAUACCAUUUCUCCAUGGUGAUAGCAAUUGAUGUAAGAAUAAUAGCCUGAAAUAAAAGUUUGAUCAAAAGUUGCUCAUUAAUAAUUUUUGAUCAAUCGUUGACGACUUGCACUCAAAACUUUGGCUUAGAAUUUCUAGGAUUUGAACUUCAUUUUUCAUCUUGUUUUGAUGUUUCAUCUUUAACUUGUUUAUUUAAGUUUUCUGGGUUGGUACAUCACUUUUCAUAUCUUUCUUUUGAUGUUUCAUAUUUGACUUGUAUAUUUAGACAUAAGUAGAGGUAGCAAUUUCCAUCCAUAUCCAUCUCACUUAAAUGGUUUUGGAUUACUAAAAAAAUUUAGAUGGACAUUAAUGGACAUCCAAAUAAAACCAAUUGGUUUGAUGGUUUUAAGUGGAUAAUCCACGCAAUCUAUCUAAAUCCAUUUAAGAAGGCAACGAGCAAACCCAGCAUGUUUUGGUAGUACUACUGUUUCUUAUGAUGCUGAGUAAAUACUCCAAGUCCAAAGACGCUAUUCAGCUCUUCCAACUCAUGCGGUCAAAGGUUUCUUCUCAAUCCGCGUAUUCCAAAUUUUUACAUGCUUUAUUUAUUUUCUUUUUCCAUUUUUUCUGUUUUUAUUCUUCUUGGUUAUCAAAACUCAUCCUAUUAAUUAACUUAGGAGUGUCAUUUUAAGUUGCGUGUUAGUUAAAGAAAUUAGCUGUGUUAGUUAAAUGAAUUUUAAAUGGAAAAUUGGAUAUCCAUCAUCCAUUUGGAUCCAAUCCAUAUACAGCCAUUUAUUAUAUGGAUUCAAACAGAUUGGACCAUUUAAUCCAUGAUCUAUUUUUAUGAAACCAAUUAUGAUCCAUAUAUCCAUUUUGCCACUUCUAAAUAUAAGCACUUACAAUUCUUCAUUUCAAAGUUGUAUGUGUUGGUAUUGAUGGCUGAAAAGAAAUAGUUUAACAUUUGGGGAUCAGCAGCAAUAAGGCAUGCUUUGCUCCAUAAGUACAUUUACUUGUCAUAUAUUUUGUCCAUCCUAACAGUUAUUGUGCUACGGACCUUUACAAUCAGCUCUAAGUUGGCGCCUAAUGAUACACAAGUUGUGGCUUGGGCUAUAAUUCAUUUAGGUUUUGUCUAGACCUUAGAUGAGGCACCACUCUAAAUUUUGCUUUGUACCUCACCAACUUUAGCCAUUGGCUCCAAUUCCAUGAUCCCUAAUUGCCCCUAAUUAGGUUACUUUUAGGUUGGAUGUCUGCGACAUGUAAAUCGUUUUGCAUUUGCUGCUUAUGUCUGUCUAAGGAUAUUUUGACAUAUCAUACAAGAAUUUUACUACUGUCACUAUCAGGAUGGAAAUUUAAGGAGCGGAGCCAUGCAAUAAUGUUUGUUCCAGAGGCCAGUGCCUUAUUAUUCUUUUGCUUUACUUGCAUAUUAUGAAUUAUCAUACAUGCAUGUCUAGUUGCCUAUAAAGCAAGUCCAUUUCUCAUUGCUUUCCUCUUGUGCAUUCUGUCAAAUUAGCAAGGGAAUGUCAACACGACAAUGCAUAGUAUAUUAGUAUUUAGUGUCGAUGUGUGUUUAUUUCAAAGAAAGGUUUAAAAUUAUGAAAGAUUUGUGAUAACUAAUUUUAUGCAAAUGAUAAUUGUACUAAUUUUUGAUAUACUGAUAAAUUGUACACUAGUGAAUCUCAUGUAUACAUUAAUUAACCUACCACAUGUACUGUUGAUGUAAUAGAGAUUAACCAUCAAAGUUCUUACAACAAAAAUAAUAAUUAAGUAUAAGUUUAGAACUUUCGAAUGUACGCAAUAGGUAACGUUGAUCUCAUCAAUCCUUGGAACAAAUUUCUAACGAUCACUGAAGGGAAGAAAUAUGUGGAUUCUAUCUCCCUUGUAUAAGCAAUUGCGACUUACCAAGUUAUUGAUUCUUUUCUGCAACAUUUUCAUGCAUGUUCCAUCGACACAAAAAGUAAUUGUUGAUUUGAUAAUCACUAUAGCUUAAGAGACCGAACAAGAAUGUAACAGACACUGUCUUUGGCCUACAUCACAAUAUCCGUUUCUCAAGGAUUACACUAUAUAUUUUGAUCUCUAUUUAGAUUAUUCAAAACAAGACCGCAAUCCAUAGCUACUACCAAUAGGUGAAAGUUCUGGAACAACCAUAACCAUAUAGUUUUCAGUUUGGGAGUCAUUUUCUUGUGUUGUGAUGAGAUGUUUUAUGGAUUCUUGAUCAUUUUGGAACCAUUCUCAUCAUUUUAUCUGGGUGGCAACUUGCAUGGAGAGUAAUGGUGGUUAUAAUUAAUUCACAACCAGGCUAUUGUGAACUUGUAUCCCUUUCUAUCGACUUGUUUUCCAGUUGAUUUCCCUUUUGCUAUCAAAUGCUAUUGAUUUUCAGUGGAUAUUCAACAUGCAGGGGUAGACAAGCCUGGCUAAAUCGGGUCUUGGUUCACAAAAUAUUGGCCACUUUUACGUAAUUAAAGGUCAGAAAAUUAGUCAAAAAAAGUUCAAGAUUUUAAGCCAUUGUGUCAGUUCAAACACAAGGAGGUGGGUAGGCAUGUUAAUGGAUAGAAUUUGAAUUGGAUCCCUUUGAUCUAAAUCCAAACCUAUUAAAUUUAGUUACACCCAAACCUAGAUUUUGAAACCCUUAUGGGUUUGAAAAAUAAAUCCGAACCCAGAUCCUCGUGAGUUUAGGUAUCUAAUGGGUAUUCAUAGGUAUUUUUCUAAACAUACAGUGAAGAAUUAAAGUAAAAAUAUUUUAAAAUAUAUAGAGUUCAAAAAUAACAUAAGUGUCAUCUAAUUUUGUUUUCAAAUAAUAAAAUUAACAUUCAAGAAAUCGAAAUGAAAUAGAGAGGAAGACAGAGGCAACGGAGGCGAGCAAUAGAUAGGUGAGAUUAGAUGGUUUUUUCUUAGAUUAAGAGCAUAUUAUUUAAUCUAAUAGUCAUGAAGUAUUACUAUAUUCGAUCCAAUAGUCAUAGGAUAUUAGAUUAUUUUAUAAAUAUAUAUAUAUAUAUAUAUAUAUAUAUAUAUAGGGUUAAAAACAAAAAAGUCUCCUGUGGUAUAUCUAAUACAUAGAAAAACUUCCUGUGGUUUCAGAACAUACAAAACGACACCUUAUAUUUUGAACUAAAUUGUAAACUAACAAAAUUCAUUAAACUUAAUGAAAAUGACGGUUUCGGCCGUUAAACUUACCGGAUUCCGUUAAGUUUACUGUUAAAUUUACCGGAUUCUAUUAAGUUUUCCGUUAAAUUUACCGGAUUCUGUUAAGUUUAACGAAUUCUGUUAGUUUAUAAUUUAGUUCAAAACAUGAGACGUCAUUUUGUAUGUUUUGAAACCACGGAGGACUUUUCUGUGUAUUAGGUAUACUGCAGAGGUUAUUUUUGUUUUUAACACACAUAUAUAUGUGUGUGUGUGUGCGCCUCUAGAUAAGGUCUGAUUUGGAUUUGGAUCACAGAAUAUUAGACCGAAUCCAAAUCCAAAACUUUCUUACCUACAGAUAGAAUUUGACUCCGAGUGAAAUCUAAGUUUGAGAAAUUAAACCCAGAUCCUAUACAAAAUACAUUGGAUCUGGGUAAGAUUCGAUCGAUUGACAUAUUUAGAGGUAAGUAUGAAUUAAGUUAAUUUCGAGUUGCGAAUGCCUUUUGAUCCUAUUUUAUUUUGGAGUUGUAUCGAUUAAUGCUGAGUGCCUGAUUGCCUAGAAAUUGAAUUUGAAGGCUGGAACUGGACCAAAUGAUGGACUACGAUGCAUACCCACUUCAUUUAUGAACAGUUCCUUCUUGAUCUUAGUCGUGAUUCCAUCCGCCAAUUCCUUCAUAACUUAAAUGAAAGAUUUGAGAAUCCACCAGAGCCACCAAGACCUUUAUUAGGGACGGAUGUCACGGGCGUGAUUAUUUCUACAUUUGUAGCUAUUCAAUUUUAAAUGGGACUUGGGUUUCUUGUAGACUGUAGUUUGACCUAUGGAUUUCAAACCUUUACCCAAUGUUUUUAGAAUCGGACCGGACCGGCCGGUUCGACCGUGAAUCGAUAGCAUCAACGGUCCGGUCCAGCAUCACACCCAGAAACUAAUGGAAAAUCACUAGGAACCGUAUGAACCGGACGAACCAUUAAAAACCGUAAACCGGCGGUUCAUAAAUUUUCAAGCAAUAAACCUGAAAUUGAAAACAAUAACAAGAAUAGAGGCGGCAAAGAUUCGAACUCGGGCCUUCAGGAUCACAAUAGGCAUGCUUACCACUAAUCCACAACCAAGGGACAAGCUUUUGUUGUGUAGAAUUUUACAUAAUCUAAUCAAAAAAAAAAUCAGAUUAAAUAAAAAAAAACCCUAGCAUUGAUUAAGAAAAGACAUAGCGCACAGACGGCACCAUUUCUCAUUUUCUCCUAGGCUUCACUUCAGUUCCUCCAUUCCUGAUUCCUCGGCUUCUCCAAUCUCCAGUUAAUCUAUUGAUUUUUUUUUCUUCAUCAUCCUUUCACAUCCAAAUAUCCAUGACAAGAUCAUCACACUAUUAUUUUUAGACGGGACUCCAAAGCUUUGCAUCUUGGUAAGUUUAAUUUUUGCCUUUUCUUGAUUUUUGUUUUCUAUAUUAUCUUUAGUGGAUUUUUUCGUAUUUUCUUCUUUUUUCCCCCAAAUUUUCAUCCGUUUAUGAAUCAUAAAUUAUUUGGCAGUCAUGUUUGGAGAAGUUAUUUUUUGGAUAAAGUAUCAAAUUAAUAAAAUUAGUCAUGUUUGGUUUUUUAAUUUUGUAUUUUUCUGCAAUUAAUAUUUGGAAUGCCCUUUUUUUGUUCCAUUGAUAUUGUUUGUGACGAUAACCGUAUGCAACUAAUUUAUGAUUUAUGAUUAUAGUAUGCAAUCGUAUGCCCUUUUUUUAUUCAACUAAUUUCUGUGACGAUAAACUAAUUUCUGCUCAAAUGUUCAAAGUUCAUACGGCUUUUUUUAAUUAAUCAAUAUUAUUUCAACUUGAAGUUUGUCUAAUUAAAGAAGUGCAGGGAUUUCUUCUGUCUGUAGGACCUCUGGGUUUGACAAUCACAGGGACUUUGAUAGUACUUUGUUAUUGUGCCGCCUUAAUGUAUUUGUUCAUUUUUUCAACAUGUAUGUCUUUUGUGGAGAUAUCAGAUAUGCAGUAUACUUCAGUUAUAGGAGAUUUUUUUAAUUUUUUUUAUAGAUUUCAUCUCGUAUAUUUUUAUGGCUUGAUCAUUGGUGUUAUGACUGGGUAUAUUUUUAUGGCUUGUUCAAUUUACCUAGACAAUAACACACACGCAUAUAUAUUCUUUAAAUCCAUCCAGGCUACAAAAAAUUACAAAAUAAAUUGCUUUUUAUUUGUUAAAAGCAACUAGGAUCAUAAAAAAUUAUAUCUCUUUCAUUCAAAGUUCAGGAGAUUUAUUUGGUGCUAUAUUCUAUAUAGUUUGGCAGCUUUAGCUUAUUUAAUUACUAUUGAUUAUUAAUACUCUAAAAGUAAGAAGUGUUGGAUUGUUUAGUGGUAAAAAAGGGACAGAAUUGAGGAACUAUUUAUUCACUUCCUAACCUAAAAUUUUCUUUUGAUAUAUUGCCAUUAGGAAUAGGUUGGAGCACCAAAGACUUAAUGAUGUUGUUUAUGUGCACUACAAUUUGCGUUUGCAACAUAGGUAUAAUUGAUUUUUUACUUUAUUCUUUACAUUUUAUUUUUUAAAGUAAUAUUAGAUUUGUAACUAAUGUAUUUUAUUGUAGGUUUGAUCGCUGAAAGAGAUCUUAUGAUCCCAUUGAUUAUGAAUCUAUUGAUAAAACGGAAUUUUGGGUCAUAGAAGAAGAACAAGAUGGCGAGCUUAAUUGUGAUGAAUUGGAGGAAGAACUUGAAGAACUUCCUAAAGAUGAUUCUCAACUAGUUGAAGGUUGGUUUUAAUAUUAAAAUAAAUAUAUUUUUAACUUGUAAUAUGAGGUGCUAAAAGUGCAUUUUUUAAUUUGAAUUUUAUUAUAAAUAUGGAUAAGUCCUUAAUUGUUGCUUUAUUUAUUUAUUUAGAUGAUGAAAGUGAAGUUGGGGAAGAUAAUGAUAUUGACUUGGAAGCAUUUCAGCGUAGGCGCCUUUUGGAUGGUGAUGAAGAUAAUGAUUGGUAAUAUAACAUAUUAAUUAGUAAUGUUUAGUAGCAAUUGAUUUUUUUUUUUGUGUUGGUUAUCUCUUUGUUUUUCAAAAUUUUUUGGCUUUUUUUUUUAGUUUUACCAAUUAAAUUUAUAUUUUUUGUAAUAAACUUUUUAACUUUUUCAGGUUAAAUCGAUGAAAUUGUGAAUGGGGUGCUGAUGCCUUGUCAUGCCAAUGAUGGACAUUUGUUAUUCAAAUUGUAUGCCUUGAAUAUGAGUUGAACUCUUUUAUGGACUUUUUUGGAAUUGUGAAAGAAUGUCAACAUUUAUUUUAUUUAUUUGUGUGUUUUUGUUUGUGAUAAUUGGUGAACAUUUGGGCUAUAUCUAUUUAUGUUUGUAAUGAAUUUAUGAAAACUUGCGGUGAAUUAUGAUAUUUUAGUUAUAUUUAUCAUUCCAGGUUUCAUGUAUAAUUUUUAGAAAAUUUAUUAUUAUCUCAACUUAAAUUUAGUUUUAAGUUAUAUUGAUGAAUGUAUUUUAGGGACUUAAGUUAUUAAUAACCAUGUUAGAGUGUACAUUAGCCGUCAAGUUCCAGUGUAGACUGUACAGUGAAGACCUAUGAAGUACUUAGCAUUAAAGCUGCAAAAAAAAAAAAAAAAAAAACAGAGAAUCGUUGAACCGGCCGGUCCGAUCGAUCAAACCGUGAACCGCCCCCUCUCCGGUUUCACUGGCCGGUCCGAGUUUAAAAACAUUGCCUUUACCAUAUGUUGUCUCAUCGUGACGUGAUCUGAGUGUUAAAAAGGUAGACCUCCAGACCACAUGCAUUCCCUGGUAUUUCCCUUGGGAUCUCUAGUAAGCAUCAAAAGGGGAUUGAUUAUUCCUAAACUUUAACUCUACUAUGCAAAGAAGCAAAAGGUCCUUAGAUUACCAGGAUAUUUUGAUUUUUGUUAUUUAAUAUAUCAUUGCCUUGAUGAAAUCAUAUUGAAUAAGUUAUGGCAUAUAGAUUGUUACUUGGUUAAAUAAUUGACAAAAUAGAAUAAUGAUAUUAUUGGUUUUUUCUUGUUAAAGCUGCCUUCCAUGUGUGCUCUCCGACAUCUAAACUCACAUAAUUUCUUCCAACAAGAAAUUGAUAUCUAUACUCCCUCCAUCCCAUUUUGUAGAUUUCUUUUCUUUUUACAUUCAUCUCAAAUUAUAAUCCAAUCUUCAAUUGAAAAAUGUUGAUGUAGUUAAUUUGUAAUUUCUCUAAAAUGCCCUAGACUUGUUUUCCUUCUUUGAUAAACUUGUUUUCCUUCUUUAUCCAUCUUAAAUUGUAGUCCAUUUUUCAAUUGAUGAAUAUAUAUGUAGUUAAUUUAUAAUUUCUCUAAGAUACCCUUAUUUAAUGUAGGUUAUUGUUGAAUAUAACCUAAUUUAUUUACUAUAAAGCUAAAUAGUUAUACUCCAUUUAAUGUAAUUUAUUUACUGUAAAGCUAAUUAAUCACUAAUCAUGCUCUUUUAAUGUAUUUAGUCAUACUCCAUUUUUUCUUUUUCCUUCAGUGGGUAUCCGGAUACAUUGCUUAUAUUUUGAACUAAAUUAUAAACUAACAAAAUUCGUUAAACUUAAUGAAAAUGACGGCCUCGGCCGUUAAACUUAACGGAUAAAAUGAUGGCCUCGGCCGUUAAACUUACCGGAUUCUAUUAAAUUUACUGUUAAAUUUACCGGAUUCUAUUAAGUUUUUCGUUAAGUUUAUCGGAUUCUGUUAAGUUUAACGAAUUCUGUUAGUUUAUAAUUUAGUUCAAAACAUGAGGCGCCGUUUUGUAUGUUUUGAAUCCACGGGGGACUUUUAUGUGUAUUAGGUAUACCACAAGGGUUUUUUUUUUGUUUUUAACACACACAUAUAUAUAUCUAUAUAUAUGUGCCUCUAGAUAAGGCCUGAUUUGGAUUUGGAUCACAGAAUAUUAGACCGAAUCCAAAUCCAAAACUUUCUUACCUACAGAUAGAAUUUGACUCCGAGUGAAAUCUAAGUUUGAGAAAUAAAACCCAGAUCCUAUCCGAAAUACAUUGGAUCUGGGUAAGGUUCGAUCGAUUGACAUAUUUAGAGGUAAGUAUGAAUUAAGUUAAUUCCGAGUUGCGAAUGCCUUUUGAUCCUAUUUUAUUUUGGAGUCGUAUUGAUUACUGCUGAGUGCCUGAUUGCCUACAAAUUGAAUUUGAAGGCUGGAACUGGACCAAAUGAUGGACUGCGAUGCAUACCCACUUCAUUUAUGAACAGUUCCUUCUUGAUCUUAGUCGUGAUUCCAUCCGCCAAUUCCUUCAUAACUUAAAUGAAAGAUUUGAGAAUCCACUAGAGCCACCGAGACCUUUAUUAGGGAUGGAUGUCACGGCGUGAUUAUUUCUACUAUUCAAUUUUAAAUGGGACUUGGGUUCCUUGUAGUUUGUAUUGAGGACCUAUGUAUUUCAAACCUUUACCAUAUGUUGUCUCAUCGUGACGUGAUCUGAGUGUUAAAAAGGUAGACCUCCAGACCACAUGCAUUCCCUGGUAUUUCCCUUGGGAUCUCUAGUAAGCAUCAAAAGGGGAUUGAUUAUUCCUAAACUUUAACUCUACUAUGCAAAGAAGCAAAAGGUCCUUAGAUUACCAGGAUAUUUUGAUUUUUGUUAUUUAAUAUAUCAUUGCCUUGAUGAAAUCACAUUGAAUAAGUUAUGGCAUAUAGAUUGUUACUUGGUUAAAUAAUUGACAAAAUAGAAUAAUGAUAUUAUUGGUUUUUUCUUGUUAAAGCUGCCUUCCUUGUGUGCUCUCCGACAUCUAAACUCACAUAAUUUCUUCCAACAAGAAAUUGAUAUCUACACUCCCUCCAUCCCAUUUUGAUAGACUUCUUUUCUUUUUACAUUCAUCUCAAAUUAUAAUCCAAUCUUCAAUUGAAAAAUGUUGAUGUAGUUAAUUUGUAAUUUCUCUAAAAUGCCCUAGACUUGUUUUCCUUCUUUAUCCAUCUUAAAUUGUAGUCCACUUUUCAAUUAAUGAAUAUAUAUGUAGUUAAUUUGUAAUUUCUCUAAGAUAUUCUUAUUUAAUGUAGGCAGAUUCGACCACACGAUCUAGGGCCUAAUGAGGUGAUCCCACGGCCAGCCAACCAGCACCCGGGGGACUCAUUCUCCAUUUAAUGGAAGGACAUUUUAGGAGGAAGUAAUUAACUCUCAUGAUUUGGAGCCAUAGGCUCCACCUGGCAAUUAAGAGCCUUAAACCCACAAAGUUACAAGAAAAUAUUUUAGAAUUAAGAAUUGGGCAGGGGCCGCGCGAAUGCAGGCCCCUUCUACUACAAAUUAUGACGUAGGCUCAACCAACUUGGGCUGACCUUAGGCGGGCACCCCUCCCAAGUGCAAUGGAGGUCACCAACUUAGGCCAUGGGCCUUCUUGAUCACCCAUUGACCCCGUCCAGGUAAGUAUGUUUCCAAGUAGCUUUCAUGCAUAUUUAAAUAUGCAUUACAAGGCUUGCUUUCACCUGUCUGUCCCAAUGUGGGAUAAUGCUUUCUUCAAUGCUUUUGUCAUUCUAUUCUUUAUUGUGGGUCCUAACUCCUAGCUAGUAACAACUAACAAGUAUUGUUACGUUCCGGAUAAAAAGAAAAUCAAAUUAAUAGUCAAUAAAUAUACAUGAGUUGCAAUUUUAUGGAGAUUCUAUGGCCCCUUUUAGGUGUCACACUCACAAGUGAAAUUCACCGUUAGAUAGCAAUAGAAGUGUUAUGGACCAUUAAAUUAAAUAUAGUUACAUAUUUAAUAUUUAAACUAUUAUAUUUAAUGAGAGAUACAAACUGAAGGAAUGGUAUCCAAAAGGUAUCAUAGGAUUUUUUACAAUCAAUCUUUAAGUGUUUUAAGAUGUCUAAUUGCAAUGACCUUUUCCCUUUCUCCUUUUUCAUUUUUGUCUUGUAAUAUAGUACAGUGAACUUUAGAAGAGGAAAAGUUUCAUUUUAGUAAUUAUCAUCCCAAUUAAAACAUUUGAACUUGGAUAUGAGAGGUGAGGGUACCAUGGAAAUAACAAAAUACUAAGAGCCAAUGUCGAGCCCCAUUUUUUUGAAUAAAUAAAUAAAUGGUUUAAAAAAAUGUAUUUUUUGUGAUUGAAAAAUGAAUUGUGAUUUAAAAGAAAAAAUGGGUCUAAAUGGGGGGUUGAGAAUGCGACGAUUUGACCCAAAAUUAUAGUUUAAAAAGGGUUUUUGAAAUAAAAAUUGGAGUCGCCACUUGGUAAUGAGUUAAGGUGUACCAAGUCACCAAAAAAUGAAUUUUUAAAGAAAAAAUAGGAAAAAGUAGUAAGAAACCCCUUUUAAACGACUCCUAGUCCACGUAAACCAAAGAAAAAGGUUCGGGAGUCACAUUUGACAAAGGGGAAGGCAAGGAUAAAAUCCAAGGCACCCCUUUGAUCUAGCCAAGACUAGUUGCAUGAUUUAAUCAAAGAUUUUCUUGUUUUAACCAAAGAAUUUAUUACAUUUGGAUGCACUACAUGAAUGCAAACCCUAGACCUAGGGGUAUUGGGGAAAAUUUCUCUUCAAAGGUUGAGUGGUGCCAAUCACAUUAAUUGUGAAGCCCAAUAACGAUCCUUUGAAGAAGUCACGAAUAAUGCGAGUGGGAUGCAAAUGAAUGGAAUGCAUGUAUGCAAUGUGAGGACAUGAGUUUGAAAAAGUAAUAAAAACAAUAAAUAUGUAAAUGAAAAUGUGCACGUGAGUGGGCAAGGUACGGUAUGUGAAAUGAUAAUAUGAAGUGCAUGUGUGCAAGUGAUGAUAAAAGUGUUCAUGUGCAAGUGAAGAAACAUAAAGGUGCACGUGUGCAAAAUGGGAGGAAAAAUGAAAGUGUGAUGAGGGUAUAAAAUGGUAGAGUGGAUUUAAAAAUGCAUGAGCCUAGGGAAUUCAUGCAUAUUGGGUACGGGGAGACCUAAAUCGUGACUCAAUUUGCCCUUUUAUAGAGGGAAUACAAGCGUGCUAAGGCUUAGAAAAAGCCACACUCGUCUAUAUCCCAUAUUUAAGGGGACUCUCAAGCAAAUGAACCCUAUAACUAGCAUGAAAUGCAAAAAUCCUAAAAUGGAGGGAAAAGGGGUUCGAGGGGCAUGCAAAAUGAUAAAACUAAAAAGAAUGCAUGACAUGUAAUGAACAUGCAAACAUGUACUAACGAGGGGAAAUCCCUAAGGGUCUAGCGUUGGACUAGCCCAUUCUAUGAAUUCCGACUAGCGUUGGACUAGUGGAAACGUACAUUCAUCCAUCACAUUCAUUCAGGCUAUGGAAAGCGAGUAGACAUGCCAAACACUUAUAAACACAUAGCACAUAACAUUUAGCAUGCUCGACUAGAUGCAAGGCCCUAACAAAGCAAAUUAACACGUAGUAACUAAGCAUGCAAGACACAUAAGACAAUUAAAGCCCUAACUAUUACAUUUGCUAGCUAGGCACAUGACUUCGAUAGGUCUUCAUUGAAUGCUCCUCCAAUCCCUAUCUAUUACAUUAGGGAGACCCUACUACAAUCUAAAAGGGGAAAAGGAAUAAAAUAAUUAAAUCCCUAACUAUUACAAGCCAAGAGGUGUACACAUACCCCAUAAAGAAUAACUUAAGUAAAAAGCAAAAUAAAUGACAUAAAUAAAAGAAAUUAAAGAAAGGCUAGGAAAGCAAAGUAGACAUGUAUUUCUCACGUAGCACGUUGGUUCACAUAGGAGAGACACAAAAAGUUAAAAGAAGUUAUACCUCCCUUGAGUUGGAGCUCUAAUGGGGUGAAGUCACUUAUUUAUCCUCCAAAAUAAAAGAAAUGAUCAAGGUACCAAUUUAUUAAGAAAAAUUAAAGAAAUGUGCAAAACAAAGCUCACUUGAUCGUAAAGCCCCUAAAGUUAUGACUUAAGUGCAAUUGACAAAGCAUGGUAGUUAAUUAAAGCAAACAAACAAUGAAGUUGCAAAAAUCAAAGCUGCGAAGGACCAAAUUGAGGACGUUAUUCAAUUGGUUGGGUCAUAGUGGCAUAAGGAAAAACUUGGGAGUCUGAAGUGCAAUUUUAGAAAGUUGAGUUGCAUGCAAACCAUGCAAACUAACUGAGAAAACAUUCUGUGAAAACUGAUGUACCUUUGUCUCAAAUUCAAACUCUAAAAUCAGAUUUGAUCUCAUACUUUAAUCCAAAGAUUACUUGAUCCAUCAUCAAAUUGCAAACCAAACAAACACAAAACAUGAACUAGACAUUCUGGACCAGAAAAAUCAUAGAAAGAAAUCAUGCAAACAUUUAAAAACUUCAUGCAAACCAAAACUAAGAAACUUCUCACAACAAGAAAUUUGCUGCGACUAUGUUUCCAAAUAGACACUUCAGAUUUGAACACCAACCUUGGUCAUAAACCUUUCAAUCAAACCUCUAAACCUUGAACUAAACAUUAUGACACACAAAUUCAAAGUCCAAACUAGUCAAGACGUAGAAGAUACAUCAUGUUCAUGCUGGAAAAUUUUAUGCGAAAGGUUCAGCAAUCCUGAUGAAUUUUUCAGCAAAUGCUCAAACAUGAUUCAAAAAUUUUAGAUUCAAACAUGCCAACUCAAACCAAUCUUCACCCAUCCAAUUCCUCUCUCCAAAUAAGAGCAGACAUCGAGUUGAAUGGCCAAAAUUUGGUAAAACAAAUGCAAGAAAGAAAACAGCAAAAGGUAAGACCGAAUGCAGCAGCCUUUGUUUCUCUUAUCUUAGCUUAAAAGUAUUGACAUGAAAAACUCAAAUAAGCUCUACCCACUUGUCAUCUAAAGACCACAUGUAAGGAAUUCACCCCCCAUUAUCAUCGAAUGUCACCCAAGCAUAAACUGCCUUGAAGAUUCAAACAAAGCCAAUGGACAAAAAAUGCAGCAACAGAAAAAAUGAAACUCACGGCAAUCUUCCAGCCGAGCUUGUUUGCAAUUGUUAUGUUUGUUCAAAACACAAUUUUCCCACCCAAACAUGGCUAAAAUCCCAGCCAAACAAAACAUCAAUAUCAACCGGACACUAAAGAUAACAUAAGAUGUAGAAUCGACACUUGAACAAACAAAGAAAAGAAAGACAAUUCUGGUUGCCGCAGGUUUGAAAAAAAAUUGCAACAAAAAGGAGAAAAAGAAGAAGAAAUUGGCGGCAUGCUUAUCUGGAAACAUAAACUUUAUGUAAAAAAGAUUCAGCAGCCAGUUUGUGAUAUGACGAAGACUUAGAUAAACAGACCCACAGGAAGAAACUUGACCGAAGCAAAAUUUGCAACUACUUCAGAAAAACCAACCACACGUAUCGAUGCAACAAACUGAAAAUUUCUGAACUUGCGGCAGCAAAUUUAUGCGCAAACAAACUCAGUUGAAAUCAUCUAAACUCAGGCAACAAGACCCCCAAACAUUCUUUCCCAUUUUUCCGACAUGAAACCUUAAGAUUUCGGCAUACAAACAAGAAUAAAAACACAAACAUGGGAAUUUUCUACUACACAUGAACCCGGAUGCUUUCUCGAAUGAGCCAGCCAUGAAAAAUGUCAUUUUUUCUGCUUAAAGUUAACAUCUCGCCGCAUAACCACAACCUAAUAACAAAGUCUAACAACAGCACCAAAUGAAUCCUAAGCAUUAACGUAAUGGACAUGCAUAUAAACAGCAAAAGAUCCCAACUUUGGGGUAUAAACACAACCCACAGACGAUGGAAGACAUGCUUACCAACUUCGAUCAACUAGAACUGACCAAAACUUCUCUCAUAAAAACCAAAAAUGAUAUCUGAAUACUAAAACUUAAAUCCCAGGAAAAAGAAAGAGUACUUACCGUAAGAAAGAGAAACUUGGUCGCCGAAGUAGUUGAUGAUUGAAGCCUUACUUCUCUGAUGCCGUUCCUCUGUUUCUUCUUUGCCUCCUCCUCUCCUCUAUUCUUGCCUUUCAGUUCUAAUCUAGCCCACCACUCUUGCGGUUUUCUUUCUCUGAUUUCCCCUCCCAACAGUAACCUCACACGCCGCUAAUCCUUUUCUCUGGUUUCUUCCCUUUGUUCCCGUCUCUUCCUUUUUGUUUCCCUCAAAACUCUCUUCCGCGGCUACUAUUUUUCUUCUUACCUUUUAUAUGGAACCCCAGGUUCCUAAACCCUCACCCCAAUGGUGAGGAUGAAAGGUCUUCUCACCUGAAAAAUCCAGCCAUCCGAUGGGUAUCUCUGAUCGUCCUUUGCAAGCUGCAAAAAUAUGCAGCUUGCAUGCCGCGGCCCUUUUUUUUUUUUUUAAUCUUUUCAACUAAUUAAUUAAUUAAACAAAAUUGAUAAUAAUAAUAAUAAUAAUAAUAAUAACGAAAACAACUUAAUUAACAUUGGAUAAAAAUAAAUAAACUAGAAACAAUAAAAUGCAACUUUCCAUUUUUCCUUUUUCAUCAUUUUUCACUUUUUUUCUUUUUUUCACUUUCAAGAAAGCAUUGAAUUUAAAUUACAAACGACUAAAUCAUAUUUUUUGAAUGCUUUUUCUUUUUCUCUUUUCUUUUUUUUUCUAAAAUGUCUAAAAAUGAGAUUAGUAAAACCAAACUAAAAUAAAUAUCAAUAAAACUAAUAAAAUAAAGUCAAAAAUUUGGUGUCUACAGCCAAAUGAUGCUAUCACUUGAAAAGAGAAGAAACUAUAGUUCUAAAGAGGGUAUAUUGAUAUACACAGAUUAGAUUGGAUACAGAUAGUUUCAAUGGAUAAACUGUCUUUUUAAGAGUUUGCUUUUCUCUUUACCUUCAUGAAACCAAUUUGACUCUCAGCAUAAUCCAGCAUAAUCUGACUAGAGUAACCAUCGAACACUACCAGAUAAAAGCACUCACAAUCAUACAAAACAUCUACACAAAUGACCUUUUUAAUUCUUUGGGCAUGGCUCCUUCCUAAGAAGCAAUUUACGUGAAAUUGUAAUAAAAAUUAGUGGACCAAGAAAUUUUCUUUUUUCACAAACCAUUUCUAAUUUAUAAGGAAAAAGAAUAGGUGACCAAAAAAAAAGAAAGGAGAAACAAAAGAAGAAAACUAGAAAUCAGGACUCAAAAAAUAUUUGCAGUAACUGUUAAAGUUUAUAGAUAGGACUUUUAACAAAGCUGAGUGUGCAUUACUGCAUAGUGAAAGAAAAGUCCAAAGCCAUCAAACUUUUACACCCUGAAUACAAAGAAAAAGUUAGCACAAUUUUUCUUCAAUUUCUGCUACUCUUCACUCCUCUCAGAUUUUGCCAAAGAAAUAAAAAGUUGUCGUGAUCAAUCAAAUCAAACUCAGAAUGUAAUUUGUAAACUUUCAAGUAUAUUUCUAAAGCUUUCACUCUCACUACAUAUUCUCUCCUUCUCUAAUUUCUCCCAUCUGAUCAGACAGACAAUUCACACCUCCUCUCUUGGGCCACCCACGGCUUCUUCUGGUCACCGCAUCAGUCCUUGCAGGUAUUCUCUUCUUCAUCUGGAUUUCGAAAACUUUUGGUGUUUAUUACAGAAUUAAUCCAUGAGCAAAUGCAGACCUAAGGUCAUAACGUAGUUUGCAGCUAACUAUAUGUUGAUCGUCUUGAUUCGGAUUGGAAAACUCGUAUUUAAUUACAGAAAUUAAUUCAUAAACAAUGUCAGGAUUGGAUUCCUCAACGUCUUCAACACGUCCUCAUACUCACCGUUCUUGAGCAUCAGCAUGAGAGAGCCUUGGAAGACAUCAACAAUGUCAGGAUGGGAUUCCAAAAUACGGGCCAAUGAUGAAUUUGCUCGAGUUGGUGGUCUGGAGGGCAGGCCCUGGCCGGCAACUGGUGGAACUUUCCAAAAAAUGCGGCGGCAAAAACUAUGGCUGCAGUGGUCUUUUUCAGACUGGAAAUUAAAGGCUGCAGUGGUCUUUUUCAGACUGGAAAUUAAAGGAUUUGGAUUGGAGGAAUUAGAACUAGAUUUGAACUCGAAUUACAAUCUGAAGUAGCUUUGAUAAUGGUGAAGUUUCUACUGUUCAGAGGCCUAAAAGAGGAUGUUUGAAAUUGAAAAUGGGGUGAUAUAACUUUGAGGUUAGAUUACUGUGGAGGAAGGAAGAUGGUGAUGGUGAUGAUGCCAUGGUCAAAGUUGAACCCAUUGAUGAAAAAUUGUAUGGUUUUUUCCUCUGUGUUUUGGGGGAAAGAUUUUAGAGGUUUUGCAGAAUGAAAUUGGAAAGGAGUGGGGAAUGGGUUGGAUGAGAAGCUGGUGUUUAUGAAAGAACCGGUUUUUUGGAUUGAUGGUCUGAUCGGAUUUCAGCUUUGCUGGUCUGACCGGACUUUGAAUGAUUUGCUCAAAUGAAAGAAAAUUUUUUUUUAUUUGGUGAAAGCAUGAAAUAUCUAUAUCUAUAUAAAUUUGAGAAGGGAUUUUUAGCAAAUAUCUAUAUAAAUUUGAGAAGGGAUUUUUAGCAAUAAACCUUCACAAUCCUUCCCACUCUCAACUCUAUUUUUAUAGCAUUUUACAUUUAAUUUAUUUCGUAAAAAAUAUCAUGAACACAUUACACCUGCACGUUUUCCUCAAACAAGAAGUUAACUCCAACUAAACACUCCCACGUUUCCUCAAACAAGAAGUUAAUUCCAACUAACUCUCCUCACACAUCUUCCCACUACAAUUAAACCUCUUUCAAUCCAAUUCCAUGAUAAGAUUGACCAAGAUCUCUUUCCACUUGCUGUUGGUAUCCUUAUUAGCCCCCGCGUGUCAGAUAGUCGUCAUGCCACUACUGAUUCCCAUAAAGGUAAUUCAAUUUAUUUUCACUUUAUUUUAUUUAAUUUUUAUAGUUUAUCAAUAAUAUAGCAUAUUGUGCAGAACCGUCACUUUAUACUAUUCGAGCAAGCAAAUUGUAUGUCAAUUACUACUUGGAUUUUGCUCAAUACCUACACAGUUGGUAAGUUUUACAAAUACCAAAAUAUUAAAUUAUUAAUAAUAUUUCAUACUUUUGCGAAUAUAUAUUUGAAAAAUUUGCAGGUUUGAGAAUGAUAAAUGUGCUCAGAAAUUGGUGACGUGGUUGCGGUCAUGCAGUUUUAUAAUGCCCCAAGCAUUAUUGAUAUCAAAUGCUAAGAGAAUAUGGAUAUCCGAAUAUGCAGUUAUACCUACGGUACAAUUCCUCUCAAUUAAUUAAGUAAUGAACAAAUAUCUACAUAUAGUUUCGAAUUAAUAAUUGUAAUCUAUACAUUCUUUGGAUUGUUUUAGAUUAAAUAUUUUCGGAUACUUGCUUACAUUCAAAGUAUCAACAUAAACAAUAUGUUCCAUGAGUUAUGCAAAAAUUGUGGACAACCAUGUCAAUCUCAUUUUGCAAAAAUGGUGGUAUCCAUUGUAAUGACACUAUUGUCAGGUAAUUAUUUUCAUAUAUUUUGAAUUUUAAUAUAAUUUUUUACAUCAUACAUCACAAUUUCUUCUUAACAGAUAUAAUGUUAACAUAGAAGUUAGAGAUUUCAGUGGUAACCUAUAUCUCGCUCUUCAAGACAGGCAUGCACGAUUCAAGAUGAACCAAUAUUGUUAGAUUAAGAGUAAUGGUGCAAAAGAAGUCAAUACAGACGGUUUCUUGAAUACUAGUGACAGUUUGACAGUUUGAUGGUAAUUAAUUCCCCCCGAAAAGACAUGCUUGAGUUUCAGAUUUGGUUUCAAAAUAUGUUAUUAGGGCAAACUAACUCAAUUUUUAAGAUAAUCAUGAUAUAACAAUCAAAGUAUUUAGAAAUUCCUUUAUAGCCCAAAAGAUUUGAUAUUGGACUAGUUUUGAAUUAAUUAAUCCUAUUGGUUAAAUUGAGUUCAAAGUGUUGUGAAUUUAACUAGCGAAAUAUACUAAUAUAGUGAAAUGUCCAAAUUAAUUAGACCAAUUCGUUUUCAUAAAUUGGAUUAUUUUAAGAGCCCAAAUUUGUAGCAAUGACCCAAUAUUAAUUAGACACCUUAAAGAAUUUAUUUUAAAUGUCCAAUAUUGUUAUAAAGACCAGUUGUGAAUAAAUGAACUCAAAGACUAUACUCUUUUAAGUGUCCAUAUAAAUUGUGAAGCAAUUCAAUGGUGAAACGCUGAUGGCUACUAUGAAGAAGGUUUGGAACCAUCCAAGGGUCUCACCCACACUUCAUUGGGAGAUAACCUUUUUCUUUUUAAGUUUAAUGACAUGCUUGAUAAGAAAAAAGUUUUCUCUGGUGGCCCAUGGUGUUUUGAUGAUAAUCUAAUGGUCAUCAGUGAUUAUAUCAGCAACGUCCAGCCAACCAACAUGAAAUUUGACACCUGCUCCUUUUGGGUGCGCGUAUAUAAUCUUCCAUUGAGUUGGAUGAAUGCCAAAACAGCAGAAUACCUGGGAAAUAAGUUAGGGGUCUAUGAAGGCUUUGAACAGAGAGGUGACUUGUUUGCCUGGGGAAAAUUCCUGCGUAUCCGUGUGAAGAUUCACCUAGAAUCUCCUCUUAAGCGAGUAAUGCAUCUGUUCAUUGAAGGCAAAGUACAUAAGGUGCUCUUUCAAUAUGAAAGGCUUCCUAUAUUAUGCUUCUACUGUGGAAGAAUUGGCCACGGCGAUCGGGAUUGUGAAUUGAAGCUUGAUGCAGCAACCUAUGACACUGGGGAUCCGCAAUAUGGAGGAUGGCUUCAAGCUAAAUCGGAAAAAUCAUUUUCCUGCCAACAACGCUCUCGGCCAGUUGUAACGGUAAGCGAUAUUGAGAAUCGCGUGCGACAAGGAACAGAUAAGGGAAAGAGAUCAACUGCAUCCUCAUCACCUGACUGUCUUGAAUUUUCAAAUUCUGAUCAUACCCAAUCUGACCAUUUGGAUAAUGAUCCGGAGAGACAUCAGGACCUAAUCAAAGGUAAAUCUUCUACCUCUACCUCUGAUAAUUUGGAUCCUACCCAACCCAAAUCAAGGAGUACAGCAGAUAAAUGGACAACCAAUAAAUCCCCUGCCUCCUCAACCCAGCCCACCGAUGACUCUUCUCGCCUCCCCGUUACACCGCACAAUAUACCAAGACCGUCUACCCCUUUGGAUAACAACAUACCAGUUCAAACCAACACCCGAAACAAAGCACCUAAAGCUUCUUUCACUCCGCUAGUCCAACUAGAAGCCCAAAUAAUUCAGGACAAAUUCUCUGCUUCUCUACCUACCUUAAGCCAAUUGCCAAAUUUGACUCUCACUCAACCCAGGAGUAACCAAUUACAAGCUAUUGUCCCUACUAUAUCCCCCGUAAUUUCUGACCCCAUUCCCUCCUCAUCUGAGCCGCCUAUUCAGUCAACAUCCAAUAAUCCCACCUCCACUCCAGCGCAUACCCAACUAUCUGAAAACAUAAAUCCCAAUUUCCCUACCCCUAAUCCAACCCUCCCAAUUACUUCCCCAGAUUUACCCAGCAAACUCCUACAACAUACCCAAACUACAGUCAGCUCCUCCACACUUCUCAAAACAGCGGAACUCUUCCUAGUUGAUGCACCCCUAAGAGAGCACAAAAAACAUUCGGAUAUCCAUAAUCUCCGAGCUCUAGCUAGUACAUUCAAAUGGAGAAAGAGCACUGACAGUCCCCAAUCAGGUUUGAUGUCGUCUAUGGAACAAACUUUUCAUACAAGGUUAUUAGGCAACAAGGUGAAACGUCCUGAUAAUUUUUCCCUCUCUGAUGAUGUUGAUAUGGAGGAUGUUUCUCUUUCCAAGAAAUCUAAGACAUCUGGUUCAACUGCAUCUCACGGUAUUUCAACGGCGGAGGCUGGUUACCAGCCCCGCCAAGAAUCAUGAGUCUUUUCAGUUGGAACUGUCGGGGGUUGAAAAACCUCCGCACAGUUCAUGAACUCCGGAGUCUUAUCCGGAGAGAAAGACUUUCAAUUAUUUUUUUGAUAGAAACUAAGUGUUCUAGUAGAUUUGUGGAGAAACUGAAGCAACAAAUUGGAUGGUUUGGUAUUGGUGUGGAUGCGCAGGGCAUCUCUGGUGGGUUAGCUCUCCUGUGGAAAAAAGAUCUUGACAUAUCAUUGAACCGCUUCGCAAGUAAUUUUAUUGAUGCCAAUGUUCAUACGCCAAAUUACACAUGGCGUUUAACUGGCUUCUAUGGACACCCUGAUGCUUCAAAGCAGAAAUAUUCCUGGGACUCUCUCCGACAACUAAGCUCCCAAUCUCGGCUCCCCUGGAUUUGUAUUGGUGAUUAUAAUGAGGUCCUUAGCCAAAGCGAAUUUGAAGGUUCUGGUCCACGAACUAACUGGCAAAUCAUGAAUUUUCGUCAAGCCUUGAUGGAUAGUAAUUUGCAUGAUGUGGGCUAUGAAGGUUUCACUUAUACAUGGUGCCAUAGUCGGACAUAUUCAAAGACAAUUAGAGCGAGACUUGAUCGCGCUUGUGCAACUCAAGAUUUUGUGGACUUAUUCCCUGAUUCAAAACUCAAGCAUGUGCACUCUAUAUUCUCUGAUCAUUUACCUCUAGUUUUUAGCUUUGAGAAUUUCUUUAAAUCUUCAAAGACUACAAAUGAGGCGAAGAGACAUAGACGUUUUAUGUUCGAAGCCAUGUGGAUAAAGGCGGAUGAUUGUGAAAACGUAAUUCAUCAAUCUUGGGAAAGUACAUCUGCGGAUAAUGCUUGUGUUAAUUUGUUCAAGAAAACAGAUAAAUGUCGAGUGGGCCUUUUACAAUGGAGCAAAUCAAAAUUUGGUAAUGUUUGUUCUGUAGCAGACGACCUAAGGAAAAAGAUUGCUAAGCUGCAGCAAGGGACUCUCUCUGAUGCUAUUAAGUCUCACAUUGGGACUUUAACAAAUCAAUUAGAGGCUAUUUUGGAUCGGGAAGAUACUAUGUGAAAGCAAAGGAGCAAAACUCACUGGUAUCGGGAGGGGGAUCGGGAUACAGCUUUUUUCCAUGCACAAUCAUCCAAGCGAAGGAAGCAAAAUCAGAUAAAUGGCCUUUUCAAUGAUGCGGGGCAGUGGUGCAACUCCCAUGAUGAUCUGGAGCACAUUAUCUUAGACCAUUUUGGAUCCAUUUUUUCCAGUUCAAAGCCAUCUCCUGAGAUAAUUGAUGCAGUUUUGCAAAGGGUGCAACCUAAGGUAUCUGGACGAAUGAAUGAUUCACUGCUGCGAACUUACUCAACCUUUGAGGUAACACAAGCUUUAAAUCAAAUGCAUCCUUUAAAUCUCCCAGUCCUGAUGGCAUGUUCCCAAUAUUUUAUCAGAAAUUUUGGCAUGUUGUUAGUCAGGAUUUAGUGAAAUGUGUUCUUGAAUUCCUGAACAACGGGCAUUUUGAUAAUCAAUUGAAUUUCACUUACAUUAUGCUUAUCCCAAAAUGCCAAUGCCCAUCCAAUAUAACUCAGUUUCGUCCAAUUAGUCAAUGUAAUGUAGUUUAUAGAUUAGCUUCUAAGGUUAUAGCCAAUAGAUUAAAUAAAGUUCUUUCAGUAAUUCUCUCACCCUUUCAGUCUAUUUUUCUUCCUGGUCGUCUUAUUACAGAUAAUAUCCUGAUCGCUUACGAAGUUAACCACUCUCUUAAAUCAAAGUCGGCAGGCAGAGAGGGAUCCAUGUUCAUUAAAUUGGACAUGAGCAAAGCAUUUGAUAGGGUUGAGUGGCCUUUUCUUAAAGGAAUGAUGUUGGCUUUAGGUUUUCAUCCUUUGUUUGUUGAUCUUAUUUCCAGUUGUUUCUCUACUGUUUCUUAUUCUUUUCAGCUAAAUGGUGUUCAAUUUGGUUAUCUACGACCACAGCGGGGCAUUAGACAAGGCGAUCCAAUUUCUCCGUAUUUAUUUCUUAUAUGUGCAGAGGCUUUUUCCUGUCCAUUGCAAGAAGCAGAGGCUUGUGGUAAAUUGUCAGGAGUACGAAUAGGUCAGAGUGGCCCUAAGCUUUCUCAUUUAUUAUUUGCAGAUGAUACUUUGUUAUUUGGCAAAGCGACCCUACAAGAAGCUCGACGUAUUCAAGAUAUCUUGCAACUAUAUAAGGAAGCUUCUGGGCAAGAGAUCAAUCUUGAGAAAUCUGCUGUGGUUUUCAGUAGUAACAUAGAUUUCUCAACCCGAUAAGAUAUCACUCAGUUUCUGAAUAUUAAAGAAGUGGUUGCACAUGAAAAAUAUCUUGGUCUUCCCACCAUUAUUGGACGCUCCAAAUGUGAGGUAUUCUCUUCUAUCAAGGAUAGAAUUUGGCAACGAAUUCAAGGAUGGAAUGAACAAUGGUUAUCAAAAGGGGGAAAGGAAGUGUUGUUGAAAGCAGUUGUUCACGCAAUUCCUACAUAUUCGAUGUCUUGUUUCAAAUUUCCAGAUUCUUUGCUAAUGGAUAUCCAAUCAAUGAUGAGCAAUUUUUGGUGGGGUGAUGGAAAUAAGGCUAGGCCGAUUCACUGGGUUAGUUGGGAUAAACUUUGCAACCGAAAGGAAGAUGGAGGAAUGGGCUUUAGGCAGUUUCACACUUUUAAUCUCGCAUUGUUAUCUAAGCAAGCGUGGCGUAUUGCUACACAACCAUCUAGCCUUCUUCAUCGGGUAUAUAAAGCUAAAUAUUUUCCCAAUACUGAUUUCUUCCAAGCUCAAGAAGGAUCGCGGCCUUCCUAGUCUUGGCGCGGACUAUGUGAGGUCAGGAAGUAUAUUGAGGCAGGAAGCAGAUGGCGAGUUGGUUCUGGCCAGUCUAUCAAAAUCUGGUCAGAUAGGUAGCUUCCACGGCCAUCUAUUUUUAAAAUCGUGUCGCGGUCUACUGCGUUGCCGGAGAAUUCCACAGUUGAUUCCCUGAUAGACUGGGAGCGAAAGACUUGGCGAGUUGACUUAUUGCAGGAAAUUUUUUGGCCUGAGGAGACCGAAUUAAUUCAAAGCAUCCCAAUUGGAGACUCUCACAAUAGGGAUAAGCUCAUCUGGCACUUUUUGAAGAAUGGAUCUUUUAUUGUGAAGAGUGCAUAUCACUUGAUCAAGCAGCGAUCUUCUAAUUGGGAGAAUUUGCCAUCAAGUAGUAGUGCUUUAAAGCAAAGUGUUUGGGCUCGGCUUUGGCACUUGAAGCUUCCUGAGAAAAUUAAAAUUUUCUUAUGGAGGGCAUGUAAAGAUAUACUGCCAACCAGCACAAAACUCAAUACUAAAGGGCUCCAUUUAGAUACCUCUUGCCCGUUAUGUCUCGCUCCAGUUGAUGAUAUGGAUCAUACCUUCUUAACUUGUCAUGUAGCUGUGCAAACGUGGGCGCUUAGUUUCUUAAGCCAGAAAAUUCAACUGCAAUCGGCUGAUCAGAUUACAUCUUGGUUUCCCAACCAGCUUUUGCGACUAUCACGCAAAGAGAUGGAAUUGGCGGGGGUUAUUCUUUGGAAUUUAUGGAAUAAUCGGAAUGGAGCAACCUUUGAUGGGCCCUACAGAGAUCCUCUGAGUUUGGUCUCCUUGUCCAUAGCAUUCCUAAAUCAAUUCCAUGAAGCAAAUUCCAAAGAUAAGUGCAAUACGCUUACCUCUCCCCAAUCAAGGUUAUCGAUAGAUCAUUGGAUACGACCCAAAGCAGGUUUUGUUAAGGCGAACUUUGAUGGAGCUGUGUUUAUGGAGGAUAAAUCAUCAGGGGUUGGUGUCAUUAUCCGGGAUGAUAAAGGAAGUUUCAUUGCUGGCCUCUCCAAGAAAAUUCUUGGGAUAUUGGAACCAAAUGUGGUUGAAUCAUAUGCGGCCAAACAUGCUACUCAACUAUUGCAAUCUUUGGGUUUCAAUAAGACGUUUUGGAAGGAGAUUCACAAAAAGUCAUCAAAAUGCUAGAGUGUUUGGAAUCUGACGAUUCAUCAUGUGGCUUGUUGAUUGAUGAUACCAUUGUCUUAUGUCAAGAUUUCAUGUUUUGGGAAGUUUCAUGGAUUCCUAGGUCGUUUAAUGUUCCAGCUCAUAACUUUGCCAAGUAUGCUGUUAAUCUUGCAGAUUCUUGUAUAUGGAGAGACUCUCCUCCAUCUUUUAUUUGUUCUGCACUUGUUGCAGAUUCGAUCUCCUAAUUAAUAAAAUUAUUCUAUUUUUAUUAUAUAAAAAAAUAUAAAUUGUAAAUCCAAAUAUAAAUAUGAAUAAGACCUUUUCAUGAAUGGGCUUAGUUCUAAGGUCAAGUCUAAGCUCAAAUACAUUUUGAACUAAUGUAGGCCUGUUUACACUAAAAUAGGAAGUUUCUUUAUGAAUAUAUGAAUUUAGACAUUUUCUAAAAAGGAAAAGUUUUCAAAUCAGGGAACCUCCAAAAAAUUAAAAACUUUCUAAAUUAGAAUACUUUAAAAAAUGGGAAACUUUUCAAAUUGGAAAACAUUUUAAAAGGGAAACUUUCCAAAAUAGGAAAUUUAUCUUCAUAAACUAUUCAAGUACAUUUUAGAAAAUGUCCAAACGUAUAUAUAUAUAUAUUUGAUUAUAGUUUUGAAGCAAGUUUGAGGCCAAGGUAAGAAUCACUUCCAGUGAGUAGUUGAAGUAGGUGGUGCUUGUCCUUCUAUAUUUUUAAAAUGCUAUAUACAUAUUUUUUCAAAUGAAAGACUUACUUUGUUAUAUGUAAAAUGGAUCAUGUAGGUUUAUUUGAAUUCUUUUCUAUAUCAUGAAAUAUGAAAUGAAAGAAAUAUGCAUGUAAUCUGUGAAAUGAAUUUACAUUGAGAAAAACUGUAAACUGUCAUGAAAUAAAUGGUAGGAACUAUAGUUGUGAUAUGUUAUGAUAGUCAUGGUAACUGUUGUGCUAGACCGAUGGACUUAUGUUAUAUUAUGUGGUCAGACGGUAAUCUAGAAACCUUCUGAUCACCUUCCUGGAAGGUGUUUAAUUUCUAGAUUUAGUACUCAAAAGUCGGAUAUUAUGUGUACUUGUUUAUGAGUUAUGUCUUAUGGAAGGAAAUGAUGUGAAUGACAUGUUAUAUGAUUUACAAGAAUUUUCUACAAAUAUGAUCAUAUCAUGUUGUUUCUAUGCCGUGUUCGACUGAGGCCACCUCUAGAACCUAGGGAUCAAGUGUCAUAUCGAAUGGAAGUCACUUAAUGGACAUUGCUUUCAUGAACGUAUGCAAACUCAAUGACCUUGUUUGAGAUCAUUCGAACUUGAGGCGGAGCGGCCCAGGACAACUUCAUGGCAUCCACGAUUUCCAACUUCCUUUUCUUUGGCAACCUCUCUUUCUUUGCAGAUUCUUUGACUUUGAUACACUUAGAGUCAUCCUUUCUUUUUCUACAAAGAAUUCUGCUUGUUGGUAAAAUUUGGGAGCUCAUUUAUGUCCAAAUUUCAAUAAAUAUAAGAACUUAAGUUAUGCCUUGUUUAUGUUUGUUAAUAUGCCUCAAUGAAGUUCUCUAAUUAAAUAAAUUUGCCAUUGGUCCCAAUAUUUUUCUACAACCCCACUCUUCAAUCAUCCAACUCACCAAAGGCAUAGAAGAUCCGUAGCGAAACUUCACCAUCAACUUCCAUGUUCUAGUGUUGGGGGCCCUGAGUCAUCUCCCACGUUUAGGAAGAAGUCCUCCUCGGCUCUGUUUGAGAACCAGUCGCCGUCGGAGGUGGUGCGUGUCCAAGUGGCACUAUCUACACAUGGGGGGGAACCUGCGGUAGUGUUCAAUGUGGCGGACAUAGCUGUUGUUGCAGCUCCUUUUCGCUUCACUCUGGUAGGGAAAUUCUCCAAAGGGCGCCCAUUGCUACCAGAUUUGCGUAAGUUCUUCACUACUCUUGACUUGAAGGAGUCGGUCUCUGUGGGUUUGUUAGAUUCCAGACAUGUGUUGCUGAAGUUUCAUGGUGAGGCAGAUUUCCUUCGUGUUUGGUCUAGAAAUGUGAAUGGGUGCCCCAUGAGGGUGUUCAAGUGGUCUUCUAAGUUCCAUGUUGACAGAGAGUCAUCUCUAGUUCCUGUUUGGUUUAGAUUACCCAAGCUGCCUAUACAUUUGUUUGCUAAACCGUCCUUAUUUCAUAUUGUUUCAUGCUUGGGAAAUCCUUUGUUUGUUGAUGCGGCGACCUCUUCAUUUACUCGGCCGAAUGUAGCACGGGUGUGUGUCGAGGUGGACCUUUUGAAGUCGUUUCCGUCACGGGUUUGGGUCGACAUGGGGGAUGGUGAUGGUUUCUGGAGACUCUAAUACCUGAGAAGCUUCCCAAGUAUUGUGGCCAUUGUUACCGUCAAGGGCAUGAUGACGACCACUGCUAUGUGAAGCAUCCAGAGCUGCGCUUGCCCAAGAUGCAGUCUCAGCCGAAUCCUACUCUGGUUGAGUCCCCCUCUCUCCGCAACAACCUGGCUUCAGAGGAUGGAGAACGAGGGGAGACGAUUGUGGUGGCUGUUGAUAGGGUGGACGACGGUGGAGGACGAGGGAAUAUAAUUGUUGUGGUUGCCGAACGGGUGGAUGAUGGUGAGGCACAUAUUGUGGUAGGGGGCCAACUCGUUUCACUAGAGGGUGAUGUCCCAACUAGUGCACGCUCUACUGGGGUGCACACUCCUGCAUCGCUGUCGACUGUUAUCGCGGGGGAGCUGAUGACCGAUACAACACCAUUCCAACAGCCUGCUGCUGCUACGUUGGUGGGAGUUGCAGAUGUCCAAGCAAUAGGUGACUUGCCGUCUUCAUCACCCCAACCCCAGUAGCCUGGGUUGUCUGUCGCUACGUUAGUAGAGGAGGCCAUUGUUUCUGCUGCAGGUGAGAUCAUUCACAAGUUGGCUGAUCAAGGAACUCGAAGAUGUGCGUUUGGUAAAGCCUCAAGGGUCAGCUGUGGAUCAAAAUUUGAGUGGAGUUGUAUCUCGGAUAGAACCCACUGCAAUGUCUGCUAUUAUUGCAGAUCGGGUUAUGGUGCCGGAACAUGGAGCAGAUGUUGGGCUACAGAUUUCAACUUCGAACCCACUUGAUGAUGGGAAAUUCACUGAUCUGGAGUCUAAGGAUGACCAUUCUAUUCAACCAGCUAAUGGCGCAUUCAUAGAGGCUGCAUCGGAAGAGAAGGCGAUGGAGGCUGGCGACUCCUCACAGCAAUGUAAUGGAAUUACGUUUGAAGUGGCAAACGAUGCGCCCGAGAAGGUAGACCAAAUUCAUGACCCACGUAAUGUGAUAUCAGUUGGAGACACACCCUUGUGGGUACAAGUACAAGGACAGAAAUGAAAAAGCCACGGUUUAAAGAUGUGCCACAGUUUAAAGAUGUGUUCGAAGAGCUUAAAUGGGAGAAAUUACAUGAUAAGAUCUCCCUUGUUCAUCUAAAGCCUUUUCUUCAAGUACAAAAUGCAAUGAUAACAAAAAUGAAGAAGAAAAAGAUGAUUCACAACGUGAUAAAGAUAAAAACCAAGACCAGAACUUAGUUCACGAGUAAUUUACCCAAGUGAUUUCAAAGAAAGCGAGGAAGCAGCUUUCAAAAAAAGGUAAAACAAUGCAAACACGUCAAGAUGUUAAACCAAAUUCCCAUGCUCACUCACAAUCCCACAAAUGUAGGGCACCCUCAUGUGGAUGAUUUUGUUCGAUUGAUCUGUUAUGUGUUUGAAUCGUAGAUUUUUCCAUAUGUUUGAUCCAUAGCUGUCUUUUUUUUUUUACUUCAACAGAGGUCAGGUUUAGCCCCCCUGUAACUUGUUGUACUCUUUUUCGAUAUAAAUAAAUUCAGUUGCAUCUAAAAAAAAAAGAAUGGAAGUCACUUAUAUGCAUGCCACAAACUUUUCAAUGAAAUAUGUAUAUGUAAUAUAUGAAACAAUACUAAUGGUUUUCAAGUUGAUAUAUGCAUAGGGAAUUGUGUGACUAAAUUUGUAAAUAUGCAGUAUGUAUAUAAUUACAUGAUCCACAGAAGAAUAAGUACUCUCUAUUAGGUGUACGUCAUUCAACCUACAUUAUCUUUACUUUUCUUGCAGAUCAAGAAGUGAAGAACGGUUAAGUUUAGCAGAUUAGAGAGAGAUAAAUAAACUGACAAUCAACUCAAGGAAUUAUAAAGUAAAGUGUUUAGCAUGCGCAUUAAAUGAAGUGCUCAUACUUAAUUUAAGAGUUUGAAAUUCUCAUGUUAUAAUCAUACCGAUUAGUACAGAUGAUUUGAAUUGUUAUUGGUUUUAAUAUUGGCGAUGUUAUCAAUGGAGUAAAUGUAAGUUUUAAAUUUUAGUGAAUUUUAUAAGUUCUAAUUAAAAUGCAUAGUAUUUGUGAGAGUAGGAUUUCAUAGAUAUGGUGUGCCACAUUAUAAAAUUGGUCUAGGGAUCCGGAUUUAGGGCAUCACACUAAUCAUGUCCAUCCAUAUGAAAAACGUGGGAUUGAAAUCCCUUCAAUGCCUUCUUUGAGUAGUAUUUGUGCAUCACUUUGCUCAAUGGUAAAUUUUGACAAAAUUUAUAUUUAGGGAAAUCAUACUAAAAGAAAUAAAAAGUAAUUGGCAUCUUACUUUGUAAAAAAAAAAAAGAUUUUUAUCUUUUAUACAUAUUAGUGAGUAUAAACACAUGUCAUGUAAUCUCAAUUUGAAUUUAAUCUUCAAUUUUUUACAUAUGUGACAUACAUCAAUAUUUUCUAGUGCACACAUUGUCAAUAUAAAAGGGUAAUAUGCAUCUUUCUAAGGUAGAAGUGAACAUAAUGUGAAAAAAUGCAUUAUAAGUUUCCUAAGCAAAAAGAAGACGAUUUUAACACUCUAUUAAAAGUUUUAGGCAUUAUACAUUUUUACAAAAAACUAAUCCCAAUUGCAAGUUCAAGUAGCUAGUAAUGGUAAAACAUGAAGAGAGAAACAAUCAUCGGUUGGGCUGAAAUAAUAAGUUUAGUCCAGUCAAAAACAAAAUAUGGCAUCAAUGGAGCUCAUUCAACAAAGUAUUAAGAGCAUCUAAAGUGGAAUAAUCCCGCCUGCUAAUUGAGGGAAACAUGAUGCUUCUUUUCAUUAAAAAGGUCAAAGAGUGUAGUGGUGCAUCUUUUGGGUCUGGAUGCUCACCUUCAACUCCAUAGAAGUUCGGUUGGGCUUCUCCCUCCUCUCGUAGUAAAGGAGUAGAGUAGAUUAUUCACGUUAGACAAAAAAAAAUCUAAAAUGGGACAAUAUUAUUUACUAAGUAAGCCAAAUCAUGGUAAUUAAUAAUGCAAUGGUGAUUAACAAUAAGUGACAAAUUUUGCUUAAAAAAAAGCCUAAAUAGUAGGCAACAAUAGGAAAAGUAUUGGCACAUGACAUGCGUUGUUGACAACAUAGGAAGCACCUCUAAUAACAUACCAAACACCAAAGCCAGACCUGUAGGAAUCAAAAGUUUCAAUUUGUCCCUUCAUACAAUGUAACUAAAUUUUUGAUUAAUUUGUCCUUAUUAAUAAGACAGCUAUUGGACUAAUUUGUCCCUAUUUAAAAAGCAAAACUAGAGAAAAGAGUCCGUUUGGGGUUAUGGUAGUUUAUUGAAAAGUGCUUCGUGAAAAAAGCUUUUAAUAAAAGUACUUAUUAAGUGCUUUUAAAUAUAUUGUUUAGAUACAUAGUUCAAUGAGUACUUAAUGUAUUGGAUAAUAUGUAAUUUGAAAAUUUUAAAUGUAUUUAUCUCUUUAUUUAGCUCAUAAGAUAGGAUAAAAUUAUUAAAUUUAAUCUUUUAUUUUUUAAAAUACAAAAGCUAUUCUAAGAGCAUCAAAUUUGAGCUUUCACUAAAAGCACUUUUAAUACCAAAAGUUCUAUUCCUAAUUUUAUGAAAUGAUAUUUAUCAAACACCUCAAAAGUACUUUUACUACCUAAAAGUGUUUUUUUAUGAAAAAUACCGCAACUUCAAAUGGGGCUAAAGCAAAACAUGAGUUUGGACUAGUUUACUCCUACUAAUUAAUUAUAUAACCAUAUUUUCCUAAUAAAUUUUGGUUUAUAAAAAGGUAGAAAUAUAAAUUAAGACUUGUGAACCAGAGAUUUGGUGAGUUUGAACCCGGUCCAAAAUAAAAAAAAAAUCUACAUGUUGGCUUUAGGCUAAACUGCACAAAGCUCACAUAUGUAAGGGCUCGAUCUCAAUCUAUUUGUUAAUAUCGAGUUCGGGUUGAUAUUGGACUAAUUUAGAUUUAACAAGUUUACAUUUUAUAUAUAUAAGCUUGCCUACAUUGCUGCCCAGGUUAUGUGAUUUUAUUGAGAAUGUAAGAUUAAUAAUGAGGGAUAGAUUGAGGAGGAUUCUAAAAUAGAAAUGAUCAAGAAUAAAGUACUUGGACAAACUUUAAAUAGUUGGAAAUUCAAUACACUAUAUAUUUGACUCCAUGAAUUGUUGGACAUACUUUUAGUACCAUAAAAAAACCCUUUCCUAGUAAAUACAUGAAAUGGUAAAUUCUUUUCUAUUUAUUUUAUGAAAGCUAAUUCAUAGUUUUGCUUCAUCAACCACUUUCCUUGUUCUAAACUCAUCCACCAAUGAGAUCACAAGUAUAGAGAAAACAUAAUUAAAAUCUCACACUCUAGAUGUGUUAAGUAUGCUAAGAAUGAAAACGACAUAAAAGUCUGCAAAUAGACUUUAAUAUUAACACUUAAAACCUGAAGGAGAUAAGAAAGCAUCACAAUCUAAGUUUGGAUAUGAAUUAGAUAACACCUCUAAGUUUCUGAGUUGUUAAUUUCUUGUACAAGUAGCUUGGAAAUAUUUCAUAACUGGCAACAUGUAGAAUAAAAUAUUUUGAACCUUGUAACUCCAAUCUUCCAUUAUGUUAACAGCUUUGACUGUGCACCUUAUAGUUUAUCACACAAGCAUUUUGCGAACAAAUAUGAAUAUAUACCAAAAUUUUUAGCACUUCAAAGCAAAUAAUUGAAAGAUCCACAGACUAUCAAAGUGUGGUAAAAAGUAGCUUUGUUUUAUUAAUCAAUUGUAAAUUCAAAAUUCAUAUAUUAUCUUCAACUUUCUUCAGGUACAGAAAGUAACUAUAAUUCCGUCAUCAUUGUCCAAAAAGUCCAACUACAGUAGUGAAAUAAUUCCGAAUAUUGGCAAACACUUGCAUCUAGAUGCAAAAAUUAGCAAUGUCAAAUAUUAGCAAACAACUGCAUCCUGAUGGAAAAAUCAGCAAUAUCAUUCACAAAAGCCUAUGACUUACAUACUUUACAUUAUCACUUGGUGAUAUUUGGAUGAACGUUCAGAAGGCACAUGUAUCAACACUAUCCACUUCAAUAUCAUAUCAUGCUCUUUUUCCUAUUUCCCCAAGCAUCAAUCAAAUUUAUAAACAAAUUGAUUGAGUGUAAAUGCCUCCUAUUACCAAUAGAAAAGGGAUAUCAAUCUACCUAGAGGCGAAAAUAAUAGAUAGCAAUCUUUACCUAUUUGCCCUAUUUCAGGCUUCCAAAUGCCUAAAGCAAACCUCUUUCGAGGUUUUCAAUUUCUCUGUCCUAGCCUUCGGUGCAUAAACCAUAGCAAUUAAGUUGGUUUCUCUUAACGCUAAAUACAUGAAAACUUCAUCAACCUUAAUUUGAAGAAAAAUCAAGUAGAAAUUCUAACAAAAUAUCGUCACAAAACCAAAUUUGCUCACAAACAAGAGGGAAAAAGAAAUUUUUGAAAAGUUCGAGAACUAUGUUAGCGUACCUCAUCCGUAUCCCUUAUCUUGUUAACUAUACAAUGAAGAUAGAAUUAGUCUUUGUGUUCAUAUAUAAAACUAGUUGUACAAUAAUACUCUAGUACGUCUAGGAGAAUUAGUCUAGGUGUGUGCUACUUAGACUAGGAGUCCGCUACUUAUUCUUUAUAUAAACUUUCGGUUGUACCAGAGCACUAACUGGUUUUUUCAAUGAAUAAAAUUACCGUUUCUUGUCAUGGUAUCAGAGCAAUGAUCCUUCUUGCUCUACUCUUCAUAUUUUGAUUCUCUUUUGUGUUUCUUCUUGUUAUGUUCUUGGAAUAAUGGCGGAGCAAAUCGAAUCACAGAAUCUAGGAUAUUUCUCGAUUGGUGAUUUGUUCUGUGAUCCAAGCUCCCCGUAUUUUUGACCUCUGCCGAUUACACCAAUGCUUCGUUAGUCCCAAUGUUGCUUGACAAUGACAAUUAUCAACAGUGGAAACGAAAUAUUUUGAAUUCUUUGAGAAGCAAAAAUAAAAUCCCAUUUGUGAAUGGAGAAUUGCCUCAAUCGAAAGUUUGGAAGCCGUGAAGCAUUGUUUUGGAGUAAAUGUGAUGGGCUUGUUCUUUCGUGACUUAUCAAUUCAAUUAGUCCGGAUCUGCAUGAUUCAAUCACUUAUCAUGACUCGGCUAGGGAGCUUUGGGUGGAUUUGGAAUAACGUUUUGGUCAAAGCAAUGAACCCAAAAUCUAUGUAAUAAGAAAGGACAUUGCUUUGUCUACUUAAGGAACAGCUUCGGUGACCACUUUUUACUCGAAACUUAAGGUCUUAUGGGAUGAGUUGAGUGCCUAUUCAAAACCUUCAAAUUGCUCAUGUGGGGGAUUGAAAGCAUGGCUGGCUGAAAGGGACAAUGAGCGCUUACACCAAUUUUUGAUGGGAUUGGAUGAAAAAUUUCAAACCAUUUGAUUCACAUAUUGGCAACUGAGCCUCUCCCUUCACUUAAUCGUAUAUUUAACAUGGUUAAGACGAAAGAGAAGCAACUGAGUCUUCUUGGUCCACAAGAUUCUGAUGGGGCAGGAGCUUUCUAUGUUCAGCAGCAGCAGCCACGAUCUAGUUCUGUUAGACGGCAACCAUCUCAAUACAAUUUUGAGAUGCUCCAUGUCCGGCGAAAGCAAGGCCAACCACGUCAGAAUGGAAGUCAAUCUUCGAAACAGCCCAAAUUACGAUGUGAUCAUUGUAAUAAGGCUGACCAUACAAUGGAUAGGUGUUGGGAGAUUAUAGGGUAUCCAAAUAAUUGGCAAUCUUCAAGGGAAAAUCCCAUCGCUGCAAAUGUGUGCUCGGAUGAUACAACAAAUUCUUCAAUUUCCACUACUUCAGUUAAUGGUUUGACAGCUGCACAGUAUGAGUAACUCUUGUCAUUAUUGAAUAGUGACAAAAAUGCUGGCUCGGUUAAUUUUGCUGGUAACGUAACCCAUCUUUUAACUCCAAAUUCCUCAUCCUCUUGCUGUACUUGGCUACUAGACACAGGUGCUACUCGUCACUUUAUAGGUAAUAAAACUUGCUUGUUUGACCUUGUUAAAUCAAGAAAAUCCACUAAUAUAUUCCUACCUGAUGGCACUGUGAAACAACUCUGCGAAUAUGGUAGUCAUCAUUUGAACUCCCUGAUUGCUUUGCAUAAUAUUUUGCAUGCUCCGAGUUUUCACUGUAAUCUUAUUUCUGUCAGUCGUCUCACCAACGAACACAAUUGUGUUGCCCUAUUUUUUUCCUGAUUUUUGUGUUGUCCAGAACCUACGCUCGAGGAAAUUGAUUGGGGUAGGUAAGGAAUGGGAUGGUCUUUACUACUUCACCACAGACUAUGCUGAGUCACGUCAUGGCAAAGCUAAUACGGUUGCAGAAUCCGCUAUUCUUUGGCAUCAAAGGUUAGGACAUCCUUCACGUGACCGGUUGGCGUCAAUACCCGACUUUUCUCAUAUUCGUUCUGAUAAAAUUUGCCAAAAAUGUACUGUGUGCCCUUUGGCAAAAGCUUCUAGACAAGUUUUUUCUCCAAGCAUUCAUAAAUCUGUGAUUUCUUUUCAUUUGGUUCAUAUUGAUAUAUGGGGACCCUAUCAAACACCUUCAAGUUCUGGGGUUCAUUUUUUCUUAACUCUUGUGGAUGACUGUACUAGAACAGUUUGGACAUAUUUAUUAAAACACAAGAAUGAAGCUUGUCAUGUUUUUCAAAAUUUUUAUUCUUUGAUUCAAACUCAAUUUGGAUUUCAAAUUAAACAAGUCAGAAGCGAUAAUGCACUAGAACUUAUUGAAGAUGCCAUGGCAAUAUUCUUUAGAAAUAAAGGGAUUGUUAAUCAAACUUAUGCUAGUACACCUCAACAAAAUGGGGUUAUCGAAAGAAAAUAUAGAGACAUCCUUAAUAUGGCUCGUGCUCUUAGGUUUCAAAGUAACUUGACCAUUAAAUUUUGGGGGGAACGUGUUUUAACUGCUACAUAUAUUCUCAAUCGACUCCCCACAUUAGCACUUGGAGGUAAAACCCCUUUUGAAUUUUUUUUUUUGGCAAGCAACAAAAGUAUAAUCAUUUUAGAGUAUUUGGUUGUUUGUGUUAUGCUGUUAAUCCUCUACAACUUUUGGACAAGUUCAAACCCAGGUCAAGGCCAUGUGUGUUUGUAGGCUACCCUCAAAAUAAAAAGGGUUUCAAAGUUUAUGAUUUAGAGACAAAAAAAAAAUUUUUUUCCUGUGAUGUACGCUUUCAUGAAACCUUUUUUCCUUUCAAAAUUCCUUCUAGUACAUCAUCUUUGAUGCUGUCUUCCGCCUUAAGACCUAACACUCCUUCACUUGUUCUUGAUAAUGAUGAUCAAUGUGUUGAUUCUCUUUAUAAUUAUGGUCCUAAAGUGCAUAAUUUCGAUGCUACUCUUUUCUCAAGUCCCAACCAUGAGCUCUCUACUACGGAUAAUCUUGUUGAAGAGAUUCAGACUUCUCCACCACACCAAGAACAGCGGAUCUGAAGACCACCUGCUUACCUAAAAGACUAUGUCUAUGAUUAUUCUAGUAGUUCUUGCCACUCCAAUUCAGUUUCCACUUCCAGAGCAUAAGGUACUCCCUAUCCUCUUAAUUCUUAUCUCUCCAAUCAUCGCUUUUCUCCAUCCCGUCAAGCUUUUCUUACAGCUUUAUUAACCGAGAUUGAGCCUUCUACUUACUCUGCAGCUAGUCAAGAUGAAAAGUAGAGGUCUAUCAUGCAAAUUGAACUUGAUGCCUUAGUUGCAAAUCAUACAUGGGAUCUUGCACUUUUGCCGAUAGUAAAGAAAGCAAAUUGUUGUAAAUGGGUGUAUAAAAUUAAAUAUAAAUCAGAUGGUACUGUGAAGCAUUAUAAAGCUUGGUUAGUAGCCAAAGGAUAUACCCAAGAGGAGGGACUGGAUUAUAUUGAACAUUUUCUCCUGUAGCAAAGCUAACUACAGUGCGGUGUUUAAUGGCUCUUGCUGCGGCUAAAAAUUGGGAAUUAUAUCAAUUUGAUGUGAAUAAUGCCUUUCUCCAUAGUGAUUUACAUGAGAAAAUAUACAUGAUCCCUCCCCCUGGAUAUUUACCAUCUGAUGACAAGAGGGUUUGUCGACUUCGCAAAUCUCUUUAUGGUCUUAAACAGGCAUCCAGGGAGUGGUUUUCUAAAUUAACUCUUGCUCUCAAACAAUAUGAUUUUAUUCAGUCUCAAGUAGAUACUACUUUAUUUACGCUGAAGACUAAUACCAAUUUUCUUGCAGUUUUGGUGUAUGUCGAUGAUAUGAUAAUUGCAGGAAAUGAUUCCUUUCAAUGCCAAAAUUUUAAACAAUUCUUGCAUGGAUAGUUCUAUCUGAAAGAUCUUGGCCCCCUUAAAUUCUUUCUCGGUCUUGAAGUUGCCAGGAAUCCUGAAGGAAUAUUUUUGAGUUAGCGGAAGUAUGCUCUAGAUAUUUUAACAGAUACUGGUCUCAGUAGUGCAAAACAUAGUUCGAUUCCAAUGUCUCAACAACACCAAUUGGGCUUUCAACCAAUAUGUCCUUGGCUGAUCCCUCGUUUUAUUGUCGUCUUGUGGGUCGACUUUUGUAUCGCACUAUCACACGACCAGAUAUUCUGUAUGCUGUCAAUAUUUUGAGUUAGUACAUGCAUUCCCCUACAUUAGAUCAUCAUGAUACAGCAAUGAAGGUUGUUCGAUACAUUAAGAAUUCUCCAAGCUAGAGAUUAUUUUUUCCUUCUUAGAACAAUUUCCAACUCACAGGUUAUUGUGAUGCUGAUUGGGGUGCUUGUCCUACGACGCGACGCUCUAUCACGGGUUAUUAUAUUUCUCUUGGGAAUGUGCCUAUCUCCUGGUGUACUAAGAAACAACCAACUGUGAGCUGCUCAUCUGCUGAAGCCGAAUAUCGUGCCAUGGCCGGUACCACUAGUGAAUUGUAAUGGUUAUGGGGUUUAUUAUUUGAUCUCACCAUUCUUCAUUCGCAACCGAUACGUCUGUUUUGUGACAACCAAGCUGCACUUCAUAUCGCUGCCAAUCCUGUCUUCCACGAGCGUACCAAACAUAUUGAGAUGGAUUGUCACUUUGUUCGUGAACGGAUUCAGUCCAAUGAGCUUUGUACCUAUUUCAUUCGUUCAGAGGAUCAACCUGCUGACUUGUUCACCAAAGCGCUUGGUUUUAGUUCUUUUCAACGAUUGUUACGCAAGCUUGGUGUUUCGUUCCUCCACAACGAUUGUUACGCAAGCUUGAGAGGGGCUGUUAGCGUACCUUAUCCGUAUCCCUUAUCUUGUUAACUAUACAAUGAAGAUAGAAUUAGUCUUUGUGUUUGUAUAUAAAACUAGUUGUACAAUAAUAGUCCAGUAUGUCUAGGAGAAUUAGUCUAGGAGUCUGCUACUUAGACUAGGAGUCCGUUACUUAUUCUUUAUAUAAACUUUCGAUUGUACCAGAGCACUAACAAGUUUUUUCAAUGAAUAAGAUUACUAUUUCUUGUCAAACUAUUAGACGAUAUUUCAAAAGGAAAUAUUCAAGAACUAUGAACAUGAAAAACCUCAAAAUAUUAAGGCAUACGAUGAAGUUGAAGCAGUGUAGGAGGGGGAAAAUAAUUUUUAGCAAUAAUCCGGACAAAAGUGAGCAGAGAUACCCUAUUUUUAGCAAUAAUUUAUGCAUUAUUUUUCUUAUUUAUUCUUGACAUGUUUAACUCUUAAUGCUUUUGCAGAACAUGAUUAUUCACAAAAAACUGAGUUGAGAUCCGAUUUUCUUCUCUCUGCCAUUUAAUGCGUCCGACAUGUAUAUGCAUAUCAUCGAGGAGCUACAAAGAUCUUUUGGAUGAAUUAUUUCCAUCAGUGUUUCCUAAAUCGUUAUUUGCCAUGUACUGUAGCACCAAAAUAAUUGAGGUACAUCAGCUUGCAUUACCCUUUGGUGUCGCUUAUAUGCAAAUUUGCCAAUUGCUUGUGCAUCAGCUUGGUAAUAUAUUUGAGCCAGUAUUUCAUGUUUGCUGAUUAUUGUCUUACGUGCAUCUCAGAUAUUGUCACAGAAGAUAAAGGAUCUAAGAAAGGACUCAACUUUGCUCCACAAAUUAAUUGGUUUUGAGGUGAUUUUGUCUAAAGAUGCAAAGCAUCCAAGUGAUCCUGCCACAGAAUACUUCAUACAAGCACACACAACUGCUCGUUUCGAGAUCGCCGCAAUUAUAUUGAAUUAAAAGUAUAAUGUCUACAAACACAGCGUUACAUUGUAGGCUUGAGUAGUAUUGCAUGAUUUUACAGCAUUGGUGUGUGUGUUGUACUAUUUAAUGUGUGUUCUGCAAUACACUGAUGAUUAAACUUUUCUUUUUGUAAAAGAUUAAUCUAUAAAGUUGUACUACUGAUAACUUGAUGAUUGAUGAUGAUUAAAGAGGGACUAUCUUUAGAUGCUUUGAAGCGCUUAUAAGAUUGGUGGUAACCAUUCCUGUUUAUAGUAAAACAGGAAUGACUUCUUUGAUAAUGAUAUCCUCCUCUUUAGCUUCCUUUAUAAUCUCUCUGCCUUAGUGUGGGAAACUAAGGAACAUAUGGUGUGACAGCCCCACUUCUUCCUAAGACGUACCAAAAGGGUGAGCGAACUGCCUGCUCAACUCUCGCCAGAACUACUAGGAUGGUUAUACACAAACUAAAACGUUCCGAAAUAUAUUAGUACGCUUAAACGAUUCAACAACCACAAAACGGAAAUGAAAAUCAAAACUGAAGGAUGAAUAGUGACUGCCACGUCACAAUCCGGCCGGAUAUCCGGUCGGAUUCCUGGCCAGAUUGGAGGUAGUAGCUAACCCAAAACGGAUCUAAAAUUCCCUGUCAAUCACUGGUCGACUAUCCGGCCAAGAACUGGUCGGAUUUGGGACGGAUUCCCCUGCAGAAAUUCCAGCCAAAAUUUUUACUUCUUCGUUCAAAUUUCAAACUGUUCGAAACCCAAUCAAGAACAAAUAACUUCAUAUAACCCUAGGAAAAGAACAUUUCCAAGGCAAAAAUAACACAUGAACAUGAUUAGCACUUUUAUAUAUACAUGUUUGUACAUAUACAACUCCAAAAGGAAAAUGUUCGGAUCAAAAUACAUUUAGGGUUUUUCAACUAUCGAGGAGCUAUACGGACGAACAAAAGAAUAUCUAACUAGCUCAACUCGCUCCUAAAAAUCAUGAAUUCCAAAAGUGGUUCCUGUAAGAAAAACAAAGAUAACGAGGAGGGGGUGAGUUUACACUCAAUGAGGUACCAAACAUAUAGCAAUAAAAUCAUGACAUUUCACGUUUAACCAAUCAGAUACACAUGCCAGAUAUAAGGUAAAGCAGUUAGAUACAGCGAUUCAAAUAGGAAGGAUACAGGUGGCUCACAGGAGCCAGAUUUCCAUUACAGUACUUGAUCCAAACCCAUUGACUCUCCGUCAACGUCUAUAGAACCAACCUGUUCGUAGACCCUACUUUAUGCCAAGAUCCGUCCACCAAACAUACCCAUUACAGGGCCCGAACACCUCAACAGAAAUAGAAGUGGUAAUACUCGAGUAUACCAGAAUUAAGAGUCUCAAUACCCAAAGAUUUCCAAAACAUACCAUUGUGGUUCGUUAUGUCAUCGACCUGGCCCUUGCCGGCUCGACUCGAGUAACUAGCCACAGGUUUUAAGUUCAGAGAUCACAACAGAUCGUUGGAUACAAGUCUCCAACUGACGUCAGAUUAAGCACAGAUAACAGAGUUAGAUGUACACAGUAAUAGGCAGACAAAUAAAAGAACGAGUGUGAUAAAGUACAUCAUCGUCUCAAACAGAUUAAACAGAGAGUACAGUCAUUCAAAUCGCAGAUUGCAUGUACGAAACCAAGUUAAGCAACAAUGAAGGGAGCAGUACACUCACUAGUUCUAACAAACCACUUCAACGUUUUCACUCCUAAGUAGGGCUUUGAUCCCCGUGAAAUCCUAAGAAUAACCAAAGUAAAACAAUUGAAGUUUUCACAUCCAAAAUCGAGUAAAUGGAAUGCACAAGUGAGGCUCGACUACUAGUCGUAUGCCUAUACAAAUGACUAUAAUUACAAGAGAUAAAGGUGUGGUUUCGGAGUAAAACGAUAGCGGUUAGUUCUACAACAUGCACAACUCCCAAAAUCCUACAUUUCUAACAACAUUAACUCACACUUGAAGGAACCAAAUGACUUAACAAUUGGACAGCACCUCCCCUUAAAUUCUCUAUUUUUCCAUUCUACAAUCAAUACAAAUUCAUCUCAAAUCAAUCACAUACAAAUCAUAGGCUAUAAAACACACCUUUCGGCAUAAUAAGCACAACUGAAGCUACACUUAUCAGAUUGAAACGAAUCUUAUGGCGUUUCGAAGCCAAGACAUAUACCUAUAGUUCUUAUGAAGACCUCCAAAGCUAAAUCAUGCAUUUUCAUAGUCAAAAAUCGAAAUCUCAGAGAGGACAGAAAACUGUCUGUGAAAUAAGGCUUGUGGCAGUCCAGGGAAUUUCAGUCAUUUAACAAGAUGCAGUGCUCCGAUUGAGCUGAAAUUUUACUAGUAGCUAGUUAACUCAAUUAUCAACAACUUUCAUGUUUUGAGCAAGGGCUAAUUCGGCCUCUCUCAAGGACGAACAUGCAGUACAAAAACAGGGCAGAUUGAAAUCCUAAAACUGAAAUUUCCGCACAAAUUCUGAAAUUUUCCGCAAACAACCACAACUAACACACAAAAUCUCCAUUUCACACCAUAUCAAGCUAUCAUUCCAUGCCCAUCCCACAAUUAUCAUAUAAAAUCAGAAAAUUCACUUAUAAAUCAGAAAUUUAUCAAACUCUAUUUAAAAUCAUGAAAUCUUCCAUAAAGUAGCAUCUAUAACAAUUAUAAACCACUAAUUACCAAUUAAUUGAAGUAAAGAGGAAGUUCUUGAAAAAAUAUCUUAAAACCCAAAGAAAAAUGAUAGUUUUGUGCUUUCCUUUUCGAAACAACUCCACCAACCUCCUUAAUCCUUCAUAGCAAGAAGUUUCUAUGGAGUAAUUUGAGAUACUAAUGGUUGGAACUUAAGAUUUGGGCUUGGAUUUGAAGAAACAGGAUGAAACUUUCCUCUCUUUUCCUCUCCUCAAUGGCCGGCCAAGAUGGAGCAAAUAAGAUGAUUUUUGGGUCAAAUUUGAUAUUUAGUAAAGUUGGGUUAAAGUCCAACAUCCAUUCAUGUCGCGACACCUAGCACCCUUUUAAUUCCAAACCUAUCUUCUUGUCUCUCCAUGGUUAAUCUAUCUAGUUAACUUCUAAUUGUCUCCUAGUACCUUGUAAAAUAAUAUCUCUUAAUAUAAAACUUCACUUACUCGCCAAAAUUUUUAUCGCACUUAGCGCACUAGCGGGUCCCACGUCUACAACGUACUUCAAACUUAUCAUGAACUAAUUUAUACUGUGAAAAUGAUUUAAAACCUAUACUCACUUAUAAAAAUCCCUAGAAAAUCAAUAUGAUAGGGUUUUAAUGAAGAAAAUACAUGCGAUAAAAUAAAAUAAAAUAUUAUGAAAUAAUGAAACUUUACGGGUCCUCACACUCUCUCCCCCUUAAAGAAAUUUCGUUUUCGAAAUUUUUUCUUAUGAACGGGAUCUAUCAAAAUCUAAGGUAACCAACGGAUCGUACCUUCUACGUCCUCAGGCGAGUCAGGAACCUGAUAGUGCUCUAGAGAAUACACCUGAGUCGGUGCCUUCGAUCUAGUCCCUUCCCCUUUCGACUCUCCAGGCUUAGUCUUAGUUGGUUGUUGGGUCCUUUUUCCUUCGCGCAGUCGAGUUGGAUAGUUAGCAAUCCGAUGAUCAGCGCUUCCACAACGCAGGCAUUUUCCCUUUUUCUUCCAACAUUUCGCCUCUAUAUGAUUUGGCCCUCCGCAAUAUCCACAAGGACCACGAGUAGCAGAGACCGAUCCUUCCUGCGACACACCACUUGACACCCCCGGUAGUCGUACUCCCCCGUUUCUCUUUCCAAUUUUAGGGGAUGUACUUUUAUCCUCUUGCUUUGAGCUACUUCCAGGAAAUCCCCUUUUCUUGGAUUUGAAGUUUCUAACUUGUAACCUUGCAGUUUCAACUCGCUGGGCCUUCUCCACCGCAUCACAAAAGGCACUAAGUUGGGCUAACGCCAGGUGCUUCUGAAUCUCAGCAUUUAAUCCCUGGAUAAAACGCCUUAUCAGUUUUUGUUCGGUUACAAUCAGUUCGGAGGCAAACUUAGAUAACCGAGUAAAUUGACUCUCAUACUCGACUACGGUCUGAGUUCCUUGGCGAAGUUGAAUGAAUUCAUCUUCCUUCUUUUCUUGGAUCAGAGGAGGAAAAAACUUGGCGUUGAAUUCCCUCAUGAAGUUCGCCCAUGUCCUCGGGGUUUGUUCUCUUUCCCAUUUCAUUUGAAUUACAUUCCACCAAGAACGGGCGGCUCCCUUCAGUUGGAAGACAGCGAACGUGACUUGCCUCUCUUCGGUAUAGUGUAAAACCGCAAAUAUAUCUAUCAUUUUCUCCAAUCACCUUUCGACCACAUUUAGAUCAGAUCCUCCAAGAAAUUUCGGUGGGGAGAACUUUUUAAAUCUUUCAAGGGCUCUAUCCUCGCCCUCUACAUGGUUACCAGGGUUUUCAGGUUGAGGAUUAGGGUUUUGACCCUGGUGUUCCACUACAUGGGCUAGCAGAUCAGUCAUACGCUGGAUAGCAGCGGCUACUUGGGCAUUAGGGUCAAUUCUAGGCCCAGGAUUUGGUUCAAGCGUGGGUUCUCGAUUACCCAUUUCAGUCGAAAGUUGCUUACGUCCGUGUCCACGACCACGUCCACGACGAGUACCCUCAAUUGGUCUAAGCAAUCUAGGAUCGAAGCGUGAAUGUAACAUUAAAAUAAUGAUAUGCAUGAAUAAGUAACAAGAGAUACACACAGAUCAAAAGGCAUAUACCUGUCUAACACAACUUUAUCAAACAAUUCACACAGUAGCAGUCAGUUAGAUACAAACAAAAGGGAUCCAAGAAGGUAACGGGGUCAUCAAAAGUACUAUAUACCAUCCAGGCCAAAGGUACAAAAGCAAUUAACGAAAAGCUUUCCCUCUCUAGAGCUUCGUCCAUAAUCUACGAAAAUAACACAAUUUAUAUCUUAAUCAAGAUUAAUCACACCUAAUGAUACCCGAACAAAUCACACGAACUCCCAUAGAAUCACAUUCUAUUUCGCCCAAGUCUCUUCUAACCUAAGCUCUCAUCUCUUUAGUAGCCGGAUACAAGAAUCUCAAAUAAGAUAAUUCACAACUCGAGUCGGCCGGUCCCAAGCGUAAAUCAUCCAUAUUAAAGAUUCCUACCCGACAUACAUAUCUAUCUUCCUCAAAUUCCAUGAUAAAGAUUUUUACACUUAUAACACACACGGUUCAUAACUUAUCCCCAAGGAAAACACUUAAUCCUUUAAACACAUUCACAAAGUAGGACCAUAACACCACUUGGCCCAAGUUCACUCAGUGCAGAGACCACGUAAAGCAGCUCUGAUACCAACUGUGACAGCCCCACUUGCCCUUAAUGCAUACCAAAGGGGUGAGCAAACUGCCUGCCCAACUCUCGCCAGGACUACUAACACGGUUAUACAUAAACUAAAACGUUCCGAAAUAUAUUAGCGCGCUCAAACGAUUCAACAAUCAUGAAACGGAAACGAAAAUCAAAACUGAAGGAUGAAUAGUGACUACCACGUUAUAAUCCGGCCUGGAUUGGAGGCAGUAGCCAAGCCAAAAUGGAUCCAAAAUUCCCUGUCAAUCCGGCUAGCUAUCCGGCCAAGAACUGACCAGAUUUGCAGCCCGAUUUCCCUGCAGAAAUUCCCGCCAAAAUUUUUACUUCUUCGUUCAAAUUUCGAAACUGUCCGAAACCCAAUCAAGAACAAAUAACUUCAUAUAACCCUAGGAAAAGAACAUUUCCAACGCAAAAAUAACACAUGAACAUGAUUAGCACUUUUAUAUAUACAUGUUUGUACAUAUACAACUCCAAAAGGAAAACGUUCGGAUCAAAAUACAUUUAGGGCUUUCCAACUAUCGAGAAGCUAUACAGACGAACAAAAGAAUAUCUAACUAGCUCAACUCGCUCCCAAAAAUCAUGAUUUCCAAAAGUGGUUCUUGUAAGGAAAACAAAGAUAACGAGGAGGGGGUGAGCCUAUGCUCAAUGAGGUACCAAACAUAUAGCAAUAAAAUCAUGAAAUUUCACGUUUAAUCAAUCAGAUACACAUGCCAGAUAUAAGGUAAAGCAGUUAGACAUAGUGAUUCAAAUAGGAAGGAUACAGGUGGCUCUCAGGAGCCAAAUUUCCAUUGGAGUACUUGAUCCAAAUCCAUUGACUCUUCAUCAACGUAUAUAGAACCAACAUGUCCGUAGACCCCACUUUACGCCAAGUUCCGUCUACUAAACAUACUUCUUACCGGGCCCGAACACCUCAACAGAAAUAGAAGUAGUAAUACUCGAGUAUACUGGAAUCAAGAGUCUCAAUACCCAAAAGAUUCCCAGAACAGACCACCGUGGUUCGUUAUCUCAUCGACCUGGCCCUUACCGGCUCGACUCGAGUAACUAGCCACAGGUUUUGAGCUCAGAAAUCACAACAGAUCGCUGGAUAGAAGUCUCCAACCGAUGUCAGAUUAAGCACAGAUAACAGAGUUAGAUGUACACAGUAAUAGGCAGACAAAUAAGAGAACGAGUGUGAUAAAUUAACCCUCGUCUCAAACAGAUUAAACAGAGAGUACAGUCAUUCAAAUCACAGAUUGCAUAUACAGAAACCAAGUUAAGCAACAAUGAAGGGAGUGGUACACUCACCAGUUCUAACAAACCACUUCAACGUUUUCACUCCCAAGUAGGGCUUUGAUCCCCGUGAAAUCCUAAGAAUAACCAAAGUAAAACAAUUGAAAUUUUCACAUCCAAAAUCGAGUAAACGGAAUGCACAAGUGAGGCUCGACUACUAGUCGUAUGCCUAUACAAAUGACAACAAUUACAAGAGAUAAAGGUGUGGUUUCGAAGUAAAACGAUAGCGGUUAGUUUUGCGGUUAGUUCUACAACAUGCACAACUCCCAAAACCCUACAUUUCUAACAACAUUAACUCACACUUGAAGGAACCAAAUGACUUAACAAUUGGACAACACCUCCCCUUAAAUUCUCUAUUUUUCCAUCCUACAAUCAACACCAAUUCAUCUCAAAUCAACCACAUACAAAUCAUAGGCUAUAAAACACACCUUUCGGCAUAAUAAGCACAACUGAAACUACACUUAUCAGAUUGAAAUGAAUCUUAUGGCGUUUCAAAGCCAAGACAUAUACCUACAGUUUUUAUGAAAACCUCCAAAGCCAAAUCAUGUAUUUUCAUAGUCAAAAAUCGAAAUCUUAGAGAGGACAGAAAACUGCCCGUGAAAUAAGGUUUAUGGCAGUCCAGGGUAUUUCGGUCAUUUCACAAGUUACAGUGCUCCGAUUGAGCUGAAAUUUUACCAGUAGCUAGCUAACUCAAUUACCAACAACUUUCAUGUUUUUGGCAAGGGCUAAUUCGGCCUCUCUCAAGGACGAACAUGCAGCGCAAAAACAGGGCAGAUUGAAAUCCUAAAACUGAAAUUUCCGCACAAAUUCUGAAAUUUUCCACAAACAACCACAACUAACACACAAAAGCUCCAUUUCACACCAUAUCAAGCUAUCAUUCCAUGCCAACCUACAAUUAUCAUAUAAAAUCAGAAAAUUUACUAAUAAAUUAGAAAUUUAUCAAACUCUAUUUAAAAUCAUGAAAUCUUCCACAAAGUAGCAUCUACAACAACUAUAAGCCACUAAUUACCAAUUAAUUGAAGUAAAGAGGAAGUUGUUAACAAAAUACCUUAAAAUCCAAAGAAAAAUGAUAGUUUAGUGCUUUCCUUUUCAAAACAACUCCACCAACCUCCUUAAUCCUUCCUAGCAAGAAGUUUCUAUGGUGUAAUUUGAGAUACUAAUGGUUGGAACUCAAGAUUUGGGCUUGGAUUUAAAGAAACAGGAUGAAACUUUCCUCUCUUUUCCUCUCCUCAAUGGCCGGCCAAGAUGGAGCAAAUGAAGAUGAUUUUUGGGUCAAAUUUGAUAUUUAGUAAAGUUGGGGAAUAGUGGUCAAAGUCUAACACCCAUUCAUGUCGCGACACCUAGCACCCUUUUAAUUCCAAACCUUUCUUGUCUCUCCAUGGUUAAUCUAUCUAACUAACUUCUAAUUGUCUCCUAGCACCUUGUAAAAUAAUAUCUCUUAAUACAAAACUUCACUUACUCGCCAAAAUUUUUAUCGCACUUAGCGCACUAGCGGGUCCCAUGUCUACAACGCACUUCAAACUUAUCAUAAACUAAUUUAUACUGUGAAAAUGAUUUAAAACCUAUACUCACUUAUAAAAAUCCCUGAAAAAUCAAUAUAAUAGGGUUUAAUGAAGAAAAUGCAUGUGAUAAAAUAAAAUAAAAUAUUAUGAAAUAAAGAAAAUUUACUGGUUCUCACAUAUGGCGCUAGUAAUUCUUUUUUUUUUUUUUUUGAUAAGAAAGGUCAUUUCAUUCAAACAAAUCUACACUAAUGGCAGAAAAUAUAUUAAACAAAUGCGACACAGAUACAUAUAGAGAAGUAAAAUCAAUCAAUAUAACAGAUCUAUAUGUUAGUAAUUCUUAGUCUAGCAUGAUGAAGUCAGAUUGCUCUUUGAAUCUAAAUCCACGCAUUGCUGCCCUUACGAUGCACUUUUUAGAAAUGAUUUCAAUCCCUUCGCUGUCAUUUUGAGACUUGGAGUUCUCUUCAAUUUCAUAAAUUAAUCAUGAAAAUAACCUUUCAAGAAAGUUAAAUCCAACUCUAAUUAAUAGGAUUUCAAUGUGUUUGCCUUAAAAUUAAACUAACAACAACGCUAAUUAAUUGCGCUAAAAACUAAGUAAAGUCCAACAAAAAUUCAAUUCUAAAUCCAAUGCCACCAGAUAAAGGCACUUGCAAUUAUAUAAUUAGUGUGUUGCUACAUAUUUUUUGACAUUAUGUGUUCAUGGUAUGCACUUAGGAGGAGCAUUAAUAGACAAAUCAUAUUAAGUUGAAAUUAGAGUUUCAACAACAACAAAAGCUGCAAAAAAUAAACACUCUUUCUCCCCACGUAUAUACCGUCACACAAAAACAAUGGAUAUAAUUAUGAACUUUGAGAAAAACUGAAACCAGAAUAAGAAUUAGGGAUUCAAACACUAUUAAAUCCUCUGAGAAUUCCUUCAAUUCAACAUGCAAUUUACAUGAAAUUGAAAAGGAAAAAACAUAAAAAUUCAUUGAAUGGGUCAAGAAUUUUUAGUUAUUAACCAAAAGAGUAAAACUUUUUUUUAAAGCUUGAAAGGAGUAAGAAAAAUCAAUUUGAUAGUACCCGUUAACAUUUCAAAAUAUAACUUUAAACUUUCAAAGUCUAACCAGCAAGCAUACUCAUGAACUUGUGAGUGCUUGCUGACUAUUAUGCUAUUACAAUUUCUGUUUAAUGCGAAAUAAUGCAGAGAAAAGGAUGAUUCGGCUCAAUUGCAUAAAUCUAGGAAGGGCAGUCGAAUGUAACUCAACCUGCUUUUUGUCGAAAUAGACCUGGGAUGCAGCAUAUACAAGCUUGAAGAUUUCUUGUUACCUUCCGUUGUCCUUUUCUUCAAAACCCAAGUAAUUUUCUUCCAGUCAGAAUCAUAUUUCUCCAGAACUCUAAGCUGUUCAGCAAUUUUGAUAAAAGAAAAUGAGGGACAAAGUAUGAACCAAAAGGAGGCCAGCAAUAGAUUUGAAGGCAGGUUCAGAAUUCCAAGGGAAAGGACCGGAAUAGCCUGUAAAAGGCAUUUUUGUCCAAAAAUUUUUUACGUUUUUCGUGGAUACAUUUUUCAAUUAUCUUUUUAUCUCAUAUAUAUCAAAUUAUUGUAAUAUAUUUUUUAACAAAACUUCAGAAAAUAACAAUCCAAAAAGCCUCUAAAAAUCCCGCUCAUCGAAUUUUCAGCUCUGACCACAAGCAUUUUUUUAUGUACAACGUAUGUACAUGGGGAAAACACCCAAAAAAAUUUAUGCCAACAAUCCAACUCCGUUUUAAAAUAAAAAUGGGAAAAAUGGUGGGCAAGUGUAAUAUGGUGAAAAAGAAUAGAUGUUACUCAACAAAAUCUGAUUGUUGUUGGCCUCCAAUAAAGACAGCAUGGCAAGCUCAAUAGAAGGUCAAAGAUUGUCACCGAAAACCUCAAAUCCAGAAAGGCCCCAAAAGCAAUAUUCAUCAUGUAACAUUGUAACUCUCUCAUUUAUAAGUUAACAAAUGAUAGCUUAUGCCAAAACAAAAAAUCUUAUGCAUUUUUUUUGAAGAGAAAAAAAAAAAUAAAAACCAGGACUAGAAUUUAGAAUUCAAACAUAAUUAAGAGUUUUAAUCAUUGCUUACAUUCAACAAGCAAUUUACAUGAAAGUGACAAGGCCAAAUGCCAUAAGAAAAAAAUUCAUUAAACGGAUAAAGAAUUUUUAGUUAUCAAGUGAUCUAAUAUGACUCAUUCUUUAAAAAAAACAAAACAAUUGUCGGGAAGUAGCCUUGAAGUCUCAAAAUAGGGCUUCAAAAUUUUCACAGUAUAACACAAUUGUGAGCCUAUGCUGGCAUUUUUGCGGGAUCUCUGAACACAAAUCAUGAGUUAGAACUAUUUUUCAUCAAUUUCUUCCGGUCUUAACUUAUAUCAGGUUAGCGCAAAAAAAAAAAAAAAAAAAAAAAGGGAUAAUUUCAGAAACCUCCCCUGAGGUUUUUGAUAAUUUCAUGUGUCUCCCUUAAGGUUUAAAAAAUUAUACCUACCUCCCUUACCCAUUUAAAAUGACAAUAUUAACCUUAAUAUUUUAAUAAAACUCUCUUGUUUCCAUGUUUAUACAAGGAUGGAUUUAAUAAUUUUUUUCCUUUUUCCUUCUUAUUCAUUUCUCUUAUAUUUCAUUAGAAGUAUAGAAGAACUAUCAAUGUUGUUGCUAAUAUCUAUCCAGAUCAAACGUUAAAUUAGUAAUUUUUUUGAUAACUUUUAAUAUUAUCCAAUUUUUUUAUAGCUCUUUUUUUGUAUGAAAAUCAAGAAUAAUUAAAAAAUAAAUGGCCCAAAACCACUAUCAAACUAUAGCAGUUCCAUCACUAAACUAGUCAAUAAACUUUUAUUUAAAAAAUAGUCCAUAAAUUUAAAAAACACAAGGUAACACUUUCUUCUCUGUCUUAAAAAGAAUUUAUAUUCCCAAUAAAGCACUAUAAAAAAUAGCUUAUCACAGCAAAAGAUUUAUUGUUAUAGUUGAUUAUUAAAUAACAAAUAUUGGCAUGAAAAACUUGAGACUUUUUUUUUUAAUUGUGUCAAAUUACUUUACAAUUGUUUAGAAGAAUGAAUUGAACUUUAUAAGAUAAGGGCAUUUUAGGGUAUUCAUUAAAAUUUUGACCUUCUUUUAAGGUUUGGUUGCUAAAGUGUCAAAUCAAGGGAGGUAAGUGUAAUUUUAAAAACUUCAAGGGAACUAAGUGACAUAGUCAGAAAUCUCAUGGAAGGUUUCUGAAAUUAUCCCUAAAAAAUAUAUAAAAAUAGCAUGACUAAUUAAAUUUGGUCUUGACUUUCAAAUAUAUUUAAGGGAUCCGCUCAUGCACCAUUUACUCUUUCUCCCAUUCCCAAACAAUUCACAUCUCCCUGAGCCCACCCCUCGUCGCCGCUGGUCAUAAGUCUGCAGGUAUUCAUCCUUUUCUACAUGGAAAUUUUUCUUAAGGAAAGAGGUUAAUCACAAAAAAGAAAUAUCCAGUCUGACAUUGGAUUGGAGCAAAUGUCUCAAUUUUAUUUAAAUGUUGCAGUUGAAUUUCUUGAUUUUUUGAGAUUCCACCUCGAUUGUACUUAGGUUGCCUGCAUGCCAUUCCCAUUUGGUAAGAUUAGAAUUGAGUUUUAGGAUUUUAUCUUGAUUGUUUAGGGGUUACAGACUUAUAUGACAAAAUCCUAAUUCACAUAAGUUGUGCAUGUAUUGGAUUUCGAUUGAAAUCCAAUUCCCACUGUUUGAAAUACAUUUCUGCGCAUGAUUUUUUCAUAGGAUCUAUUUAUCUUCAUCUGUUUGUGAUUGUUUCUGCACAUGAUUUCUUAUAGGAUCUAUUUAUCUUCAUCUGUUAUGUUGAUGUUUGUUAUGUUGAUCAUCGUGGCAGAGAAUCAUGGUUUUGCUAAAUUAAGACUCCUGUUUCAUUUCUUCAAACACAUUUUUUAAGCCAAGUUUUACUUGUUCAUUUUUUCCCUUCAUUUUUUCCCCUGUCAUCAUGCUGUAAUCUGUAACUGUACCUGUACUAGUAUAAAUCUUGGUGUUGUUUUGGGAGUUUCACCGCAGAAGAAUUGAAGAGGAGAAAUGGAGGGGUUUCUAAAGAUCCUUUGUCAGAGAAUAAAUAAUUUAUUUGUUUAUUUUUGUCGAGCCUUUGAAAAAUGCGGGAAAAAAGAUCGUUAGUUUAAACUUGCGGAUUUCCCAACUUUGCCCUUGCGGAACUAUUGGAAUAUGGUGCAAAACAAAGGGAAAAACGAGUAACUUCUUUUCUUUUCACGGGCAAAAUAACGAAAGGAACUUGAAUUUGUUCUCUAUCCUAAAGGACCUAAGCUCCCAAAUAGAUGAAUUUUGAUUAGAUGGGAAGGGGAAACGAACAAUUGACAAAACCAACAAAUGAACAAUGGUAUAGAUUGACAUCUAAUGACAUAGUUUUUCUAAUUUUUGAAUGAUCAUAAAUAAUUGUAAAAAAUCAGUUUACAUUCUUGAAAAAUGACUAGUGAUAAGGGCGCAACCGAUGUGUAUAAUAUAGGAACAAUCAUUUUUUAUAUGAAGGAAUUUAAUAUAAAAUUUUCAUAAAAAAAAGACUUUGAUCUUUUAAAAUUUUUUGAAUGGAAUUUUAAUUAAUUUGGUGGUUACAAUAUUUGUAAAUGGUUAUGGAUGAAAAUUUGUGUGAUUACAUUGGUUGGUAAUAUGAGUAAUAUGUAAUUAGAUGGUAAAGUUAUAAUUUAAUGAUUGUGAAAAGUUAAAAAUCUAAAGAGUGACAAAAAAAGUUUACAGCAAAUUCAAUGCUCUCCCUUUAUAUAUAAUAUAUAGUAUAGAUAGAUUUUCGAUGUUUACAUCAUUAUCCAAGUCAUGAUUGCGCCAUUCUACACUAUUAUUCCGAAUAGAUGUGGAUAAUUUUAUUUUUUAGAACAUUUUUCUCGCUUUGAUUUCAACUUUGCUUUUUUUUUUUUGAAGAAAAAAAAGUAUAUGUAAACUUGAAUUUUGAAGAUCUUAUCUAACGUUAUUCUUAGUAAUGCAGGAAGUGUUACUAUGGUUUCUUUUGAUAUUUGUCCAUCAUGGAACCAGGUAGUCUUUACGAAUUCACUAAGUUCUUUAAUCAGUACCGGUUCAUUACCCUUAGACACGGACUACUAAUGAACUCUCAUUAAUUUCAUUUUGUUGGUCAUUGACAGGGAACGAGGUGCAACCUAAGACAAGUCAGAAGGAUGCGAACCUUAAUCACUUCUCUCGGCUGUCUGAUUCAAUCAUUUAUCACAUCUAUUCGUUUUUACCCACCUGAGAUGUUGCCUGUACCUCCAUCCUGUCCAAAUCCUGGUAUCGUAUGUGAAGAUAUCAUGCUAUAAUUGGAUGGACAAAUUUCUCUCUGUCCCAAACUUACCUGAAUUGAAGCAUUUUGAGUGUUUGUUCUGCGAUAUGGUUGAUAUUAUUCAAAUCAAUGCAGCUAAGCUUCAUACUUUCUCAUUUGGGACAUUGAAAGAAGUCAAAGAACUUUGGCCAAUGACCAUUGACUGGACAGCCUGUGCUACAGCACUGGAGGAGUUGAAAAUAUAUGCGAAUGGUGCCGCUGACAUUGAUAUGUUAGAGACACCGAUAUCUCAGCUUCUCUUUCUUGAAACAUUGGAUAUACACGGCUGCAAAAGUUAUGCGGGUUUCAAGAUCUCAAACCAAACUCUUAAGAGAUUGAUCUUGGGAGAUUGCAGUCGCAUGUCAGCUACUCAACUUGAUGCUCCAAAGUUAGAGUUGCUUGAAUUCAACAACUGCGAUAAACCUUUUCUUCCUUGCAAUGCCUCGAAUAAACUUCAGAUUAACUUUAGUUUGUUCUUUAGAGGACAUUCAAUUGAGUGGCUUUUGCGAUUGAAGUAUUUUCUCGGGACGUUAAAGCAUUGGGAAGAUUUGAAACUGAUCGUCUAUCCUGAACAUCAGGUACUACACUUCUUUCUUAACCACUUAGCUAAGGUUUUAUGAAAUUUUUUUGUUGCUUUACUUGGUUUGAGAGUUAUAUGUGAUGCUAUUCGACAAUGGACGUAAAAAUCUUGAAAUUGUUUACUCCUCUUGCCACGCCCCGAGCCCGCACGUGCCAGUCACAUGACAUCCGCCGUAUCUUCAAGUCUCGUUCAAGAAUACAAGGCAAUAUCAUACUAUACUAAACUUUAAAAGUACUAAAUAAUAUAACUAGAUAAAGUGUGGUACAAAUCUCAUAUGAAUAAUAGUCUAUGAAUAUCCAAUAAGUUCGUAUAUUUAUUCUCUGGUUGAAACAGCGGAAACAAAAGUAAAUAAAACUAACAACUAGAAGUAGCUAGCUUGCUAACUUCUGUUCAUUUAGAAACUAAUAAAAGCCGUCAUCAGGGUUUUCUACGUAAAUCAACUCAUACUUUUCAGAAUCUACAAAGAUGAUAAAAUUGUCAUGCCCCGAGCCUGCACGUGCUAGUCACGUGACAUCUGUCGUAUCCUCAAAAUCUACAAAGAUGAUAAAAAGUGGGUUGAGCGACAAGUCGCUCAGUAAGUAAUAUCUACCCCUCUGUUGGACCAUGCAUUCAUAACUUUAUAGGUACAUAUAUAGAUAUAAAUCAAAUCAUUUGCACACCGUUCACAUCCAUAAUCAUAAAAGUAACGUUGUUUAUAAAACAAUCAGUAGUAACGAGUGACAAGCAAUUUAAAAGCAUCUUAUUGAUAACUAUAUAUGAAAAAUCAUAAAGUCAUAAUCAUUUCAUAUCAAUUCAUAAGUCUCUUCAUAUCAGUUCAUAAAUCAUUUCAUAUCAGCUCAUAACAAAUACAUGUAAUGAUCGGCUAGUGAGUACUUAGCCUAGGGAUUAAACCCCUUCUCGAUGGGCGACCAAUAGAUUUCAUGACUACCGAUUGGUCUCAUUACAUACAUGAUCAAUCGGCCGGACUUUAUAUCAGGCUACCAUGAUCUUGUCAAUCGACCGGACUCUAUACAGGCUACCAUGACUAUUAGACAGGACUAUAGCCCCUACCGUCUAUUCCGUAACUAUUUUGCGUUUUUCUUGACAUAAAUUUGUUUCACACGUCACAGCAUAGUUCUUGAUUUCAUAAAAGAUACAGCUUAUUUGGUAUAUAAUAACAUAUCAAGAAAUUUCAAAUAAGUCACAUGGUCCAUUUUUUUGGUAUAAUCAAAAUAGAACUUGCUUAAACAGUCAAGUAAAUCAUUUAAUAAAAAACAAUUCAGAUUAACACGUAAAAAUAUAAUCGAUGACAAAAAUUUCACUUUAAACUUUUGAAAUCUCAGAAGGGUAAGUACCGCCUACCUUUGUUUGGUUGCUCGAGUGGAACUACCUUAGGCCUUCUAAACUUGUGUCGUACAGGUCUAGGCGCUUAGUUAUCCGCUUGUUCGAUGACGACAUCUUCUCCUUCUCCUCUAUUCUUAGUCGAUUCUUGCUCUAAGGGAGGCAGACAAGGGAAAGGUAGGAAUGGUGUUAUUUUUCUCUCUAUUGUUUUGAUAAAAAUCCUAAACCCUAGCACUUCCCACUAGUAGGUUGUUUAGAUAAGAGUUUUAGUUUAUUAUGAACUCUUAUCCUGCCUCAUCUCCUUACUAAUCCUAAUUAUUCCUCUACCCUAUCCUACUAAUAAAUUUAUAUUAUUAUUAUUAUUUCACCCAUAGUAAUUUUGCCUUUUUAAUUAAUUGAGCAAAAUAAACUAAAAAAUGAGCAAGGACGUGGGUUUUUACAUUCUACCCCCCUUACAAAAAGUUUUGUUCUCGAAACUUACGUACCUUGAUAAAAAAGAUAGGGGUAUCUAUUCCGCAUGUACUUCUCCAACUCCCACGUUGCCUCUCGCAGUGUAUGAUUCGUCCAUUGCACCUUGACGUAGGGUAUGGUCCUUCUCCUUAGAAUUUGGUCCUUCCGGUCCACGAUUCUUAAAGGAACUUCCUCCACUGAUAAGUUCUCCCUCACCUCGAUGGGUUGAACCUCCAAAAUAUAGCUCGGGUCCGAUACAUACUUCCUCAGUUGGGAGAUAUGAAAAACAUUAUGUAUCCCUGACAAAGCAAGGUGGGAGAGCCAAUCGAUACGCUAGAGGUCCAACUCUAUCCAGUAUUUCGUAAGGCCCUACAUACCUCGGACUUAACUUGCCACUUCUUCCAAUUCUCAUCACUCCCUUGGUAGGGGAUAUUUUCAAAUAUAUCUUUUCUCCCGGUUGAAAUGCUAAAGGUCUCCUUUUAGAAUCCGCCCAAUUCUUGUUUCGGUCCUAAGCUACUUUUAAUUUUCCUCGAAUAAUCUUAAUUUUCUCCAAAGUUUUUUCUACCAAAUCGGGGACAGUGAUCAGCUUCUCACCUAUUUCAUCCCAAUAUAAGGGGGAUCUACACUUUCAUCCAUACAACGCUUCAAACGGUGCCAUACCUAUACCGUUAUAAUAGCUAUUAUUGUACGAGAACUCCAUUAGUUUCACCAACCUAUCCCAACUAUCCGAGAAGUCUAGAGCAUAAGCUCUGAGCAUGUCUUCUAGUGUUUGUAUGGUCCUUUCCGAUUGUCCAUCCGUUUGAGGGUGGAAGGCGGUACUUAAUCUCAGGUCAGUCCCCAUAAUUUUUUGAUAGGUCAACCAAAAUUUAGACGUGAAUUUAGGAUCUCGAUCAAACACUAUACUUACUGGAACACUAUGAAGACAUACGAUUUCCUUCAUAUACAUCUCUACCAACCUCUCCAUUGUUACCCCAUUCGACAUUGAUAAAAAGUGGGCAGAUUUGGUUAGCCGAUCGAUUAUAACCUAAACAAUAUCGUUAUUCCUAAUCGUUCGAGGCAAUUCUACCACAAAAUCCAUUGCUACAUGUUCCCACUUCCAUUGGGGAAUUUUCAGGGGUUGCAAUAAGCUUGCAGGUCUUUGAUGCUCGGCCUUUACUUGUUGGCAUACAAGAUACCUCGCUACAUAUUCCACUAUUUCUCGUUUCAUCCCAUUCCACUAAUAAUUUCUCUUCAAGUCUUGGCACAUUUUAGUCCCACCAAGGUGAAUUGAGAAUCUCGAAUUGUGUGCCUCCUUUAGCAAUUCCUGCUUCAAUCCUUCAUCCCUUGGCACACAUAAUCUACCAUCUUUCUACAAACUUCCAUCGUCUUUCAAUUCUCCACCGACGGGUUCCACUCUAAGUUUUUCCUUAAUCUUUGCAAACCCGUCAUUAGAAUAUUGUGAUUCUUUAAUCCUAUCUAUUAAAGUAGGUGCGACCACUAAGGCAACUAGCAUUUGAACCGUGGAGUCCACAAUUUUCACUUCAAAAUUCUCCAUUUGAUCCUUUCCCGUGGGUUCUCUUAAUACCCUUGACUUCCUACUGAGGGUGUCUGCUACCUUAUUUGCCUUGCCCGGAUGGUAAAUGAUUGUCAAAUCAUAAUUCUUAAUUAAUUCUAACCACUUUCUCUGCCUCAUAUUCAAUUCUCUUUGAGUAAAUAGAUAUUUAAAACUCUUGUGAUCGGUGAAAAUUUCACAUUACACACCAUAUAAGUAAUGCCUCCAUAUUUUCAACGCAAACACUAUUGCUGCCAAUUCCAAAUCACGCGUGGGAUAAUUUUGCUCGUACGAUUUUAGUUGGCGGGAAGCAUAAGCAAUUUCUCUCCCAUUUUGCAUCAAAAAGCAUCCUAAACCAUUUUUAGAGACAUUACUAUAAAUCACAAAUCCUUCCAUUCCAGAGGGUAGGGUAAGUACUGGGGUUGACACUAGUUUCUCCUUUAACCUCUGGAAACUCGUUUCACAUUUAUCUGUCUAUUUAAAUUUUGUUCUCUUUUGAGUCAACCUAGUAAGAGGCAUAGCAAUGGUAGAGAAUCCUUCUACAAAUUUUCAAUAAUAGCCGGUCAACCCUAAACUCCUUACUUUGGUUACAUUAGUAAGCCGUGACCAGUCUACAAUUUCUUCCACCUUCUUUGAAUCACGGACACCCCUUGAGCUGAUAUCACAUGUCUUAAGAAGGCCACAUUUUUCAACCAAAAUUCACAUUUACUAAAUUAAGCGUACAAUUUCACUCUUCUUAGUAUCUCUAGGACUUCCCUAAAGUGGGCAGCAUGAGUUUCUUCAUUUGGGGAGUACACUAAAAUGUCAUCAAUAAACACCACCAUAAAACAGUCUAGUUGCGGUUUGAAUACCCGAUUCAUCAUAUCCAUAAAGGCUGCCAGAGUAUUGGUUAAUCCAAAGGGCAUCACCAAAAACUCAUAGUGCCUGUAUCUCGUACGAAAUGCAUCUUUUUGGAUGUCUUUGGCUUUAAUCUUUAAUUGAUGGUAUCCAGAUCUCAAAUCUAUUUUAGAGAAUAUUUUAACUCCCUUCAAUUGGUCAAAAAAAUCAUCUAUCCUUGGAAGGGGGUAUUUGUUCUUUAUUGUGAUUCGAUUCAAUUCUCUAUAAUCGAUACACAACCUCAGGCUACCAUCCUUCUUCUUUACAAAGAAUACUGGUGCAUCCCAAGGGGAAACACUAGGUCUAAUGAAUUUCUUAUCUAGUAGUUCCUGUAAUUGCUCCUUAAGUUCCUUUAAUUCUGCGGGCAUCAUUCUAUAGGGGGCCUUAGAUAUAGGAGUCGUUUCAAGUAUAACAUUUAUUUCAAACUUUCUUUCUCUAUUCGAAGGUAGACCAGGAAGGCCUUCCGGGAAUACGUCAAAAAAGUCCUUCACCACCAAGCUCUUUUUUAAAGGUGUCUCCUCUUUCUCCGUAUCUACAACAUAAGCCAAAUAUGCCUCACACCUUUUUCUUAUUGCCCUAUACGUCUGCAUGACAGAUAGAAGAGGUAACUUACGAAUUUUCUUAUCACCAACAUUUCCUUGAUAAGAGAAAUCCUUCUCGUUCGGUUUCAUGAGUAACACCCUCUUUCUACAAUCAAUUUGUGCAAAAUGUUUAGCUAGCAAAUCCAUUCCUAGGAUAACAUCAAAAUCACUUAUAUUUAUUUGUACUAGGUCCACUUCUAAUCUCCUAUUCACACUAUAGUUUGGAUACCUAGUAUGAGACACUAGGAUUCUAUUUCCUGGAGCAGCCACUCGGUAAGGGUGAUCCGUCCAUUCAGGAGACAUGCAUAAGUACUUUGUAAAAGAGUGACUAGCUUCACAAUCAAAUAGCACGUAUGCAGGCACAGAAUUAAUUAGAAGAGUACAGUGACCUCGUUGCUUGCCACUUCCGCCUCAACAUCGGUCAUGGCAUGCUCCCUCGUGUUAACUUUUGAUUUUUUAUCAGUGAGAUUGCCACUCUUAUCUCCUUCUACCUUUUUAUUUGGAUAAUUCAUAGCCCUAUGCCCUUGCUGUCCACAUUCAAAACAAACUCCUAUUCCAACUCGGCAUUCCCCUCAGUAUAUCUUCCCACAAGUUUUACACGUGGGGAAAGUUGUCUUAAGCCGGCAUUCUUCCCGAUGCAUCUUUCCACAAGUUUUGCACACAGGAAAGGUGUUUCCUCCAGUUAUUUUUAGUGGUGGUCCACAACUUUUCUUAAUUAAGCGGAACCGUCCACCAGGUUUUAGUGCUCCCACCACUGCAAGUUCAUUCCCUAGUCUAGGCCUUUUAUUCCUACCAUUUUCAUCUAAUCUUUUGCAAUUAGUCUCAACUUUAACGCUGGCGUCCAACACAUCAUUAAACGUAGGGAUGUAAGAGGUGUUCACCCUAAUUUGAAUUCUACUCGACAACCCCCUUAUAAACUUAUACUUUUUCAACUCCCCAUCUGCCAUUAUUGUUGGGACAAACCUUCCUAAUACCGUGAAUUUAUUCGAAUACUGCACCACAGACAUUCCUGGAGUUUUUUUUAAAUUUUCAAACAGAUCUAUCUUCUGCAUCCUUACAGUCGGUGGGAAAAAGUAUUUGAGGAACUCCUCUAUAAAUUUUGUCCAACUUACUGAUGGGGUGAUGGUAGGUUUCAGAGUUGCCCACCACUUAUUGGCUUCUUCUACCAAAAAGGGUUUGAUGAUUAGGUGUUUCAUCUCUUUCGACACUUGCAAUAGUGCAACGUUAUUUUCUAUUUCAUCUAACCAUUUUUUUGCCAAAUCUGAGUCAAGAGUUCCAUCAAAGGUAGGGACAUGGACCCUUUUCAUUUUCUCAUAAUAUGAUUGAGUUCCCCCUUGUCCAUGAUUUUGGGUUUGAACAGCUAGAAUCUGUGCUAAUUGUGUCUGGGUUUAUAAUGUUUGGACUACCUCGGUUAGUGCGGUCACUAAUUCUGCGGGUAACAUUAUGUAGGAUUGAUGCCCACUUGAUCCAGUCUCUUGGUAACCUAUAUUCUAAUUAUUAUUUCCUUGAUAUGGUUCUUGGUUAUGAUUACCGUGGUCGUUCUCACCAUUAGGGCUGCCAUUGUGAUUUUCGCCACGUCUAGUGUUUGGUGCCAUUUCCUAAAUCAAAUAGAUAAGUUCCACAUUAAAGUAAGUAUUCUAUUCUUACUUAUUAUAUAUAUAUAUAUCAAUAUAUAUUUUUAAAACGACACAACUAAAGUUAUCUACUUGUAUAUUUUAUGUAUACGACCCCAAAAAAUAAAAUAGGUGAAUAAAUAAAUAAAUAAAUAAAAUUUAAAAUAGAGAUUUUAUUCACUAACUUAAGAUGAAAAGAAUGGUUGACUUCUUAUACAUCGAAAUCAAUAUCCUAACUUAUUCUAGAAAUAUCUAACGAAUCUAGUGUCUAAACCGUCUAAUUAUAAUCUACGAUUGGAUAGAAAAACUAAUCAAUGCGAACAAUCACUCACCAACCUACUAAUGUUCUUGAAAUAAUAUCCCCUAACACUAAUAAAAUAAAUGAAUCAUUAAAUAGAAUCUCUCUUAGACCAACUCUACUGCUCAUCCGCUAGUGGGUCUGCAUCCACAACUGCUCCGUCUCUUACACCCCUCUCAGCACCGUCCUGGUCCUCAACUCCAUUUUUCUCCUGAUGAUUUUCUACGGGCAUCUUCUCAGGAUCCUCGUCGGGAUCGUCAUCUAGUUCCACAUCACUAUCAGGCCACAGGUGAUUCCACCCAGGCAUUGGGGUGCAAGUGGUUGGUGGCCAUCUAUCUAGUUCAUCACGCACUGCCUCCUCUCUUCAUAUUUCAUCGCUAAAGCUUGGUACUCCGCAUCUCGAUUCUGAAGUAAGGAAGUUACUUCUUCAAAUCCUUCAUUAUACAUAUCAGCUAGUCCCUUCUGUACUUCCAUUUCCGCUUUCAACUUAUUGACCUCCUCUCGUAGACGGAGCACCUCCCCAUGCAAACCUUCCAUGUUCUAUCUCAUGUGUUCCCUCGACACUAUUAACAUCGAGAUCUCGUGCGUUUGGUCAGCUAUUCGAUCAGCCAAUGUAUGAGCCUUCCUAGCUCCGUCCAUGGCUCUCUCUAACUCCUCAAGGUAUCUGUCCCUAUAGAAUCUUUGUCUCUUCCUAAGACGGGCCACAUCGCAUCCCGUCACAUGAACUGGACAGUCGCAAUCCUGAUGCUUACCAUGUACCGGUUCGGCUAUCUCCUACAAUGCCAGAUAGAACACUAUUAGUCCUGAUUUUUUCCUCUCUAAGGUACACAGAUCUUUUCAAGCUUAAUUUACUAAUUACUACCAUUCGUUUCUUAAACUGUUCUAUCUUAUGGUGUUAUUUCGAACUUAGGCUUUGAUACCACUAAAAAUGUCACGCCCCGAGGCUGCACGUGCCAGUCACGUGACAUCCACCAUAUCCUCAAGUCUUGCUCAAGAAUACAAGGCAACAUCACACUAUACUAAACUUUAAAAGUACUAAAUAAUAAAACUAGAUAAAAUACGGUACAAAUCUCAUAUGAAUGAUAGUCUACGAAUAUCCAAUAAAUUCGUACAUUUAGUCUCUAGUUGAAAAGGUGGAAACAAAAACAAAUAAAAUUAACAACUAGAAGUAGCUAGCUUGGUAACUUCUGUUCACUUAGAAACUAAUAAAAGUCAUCUUUAGGGUCUUCUAUGUAAAUCAACUCAUACUCUUCAAAAUCUGCAAAGAUGAUAAAAAGUGGGUUGAGCGACAAGUAGCUCAGUAUGUAAUAUCUACCCCUCUAUUGGACCUUGCAUUCAUAACUUUAUAGGUACAUAUAUCGAUAUUAAUGAAUCACAUCCAUAAUCAUGAAAGUAACGUUGUUUAUAAAGCAAUUAGUAGUAACAAGUGACAAGCAAUUUAAAAGCAUCUUAUUGAUAACUAUAUAUGAAAAAUUAUAAGUCUCUUCAUAUCAAUUCAUAAAUCAUUUCAUAAUCAGCUCAUAACAAGUACAUGUAAUGACCAGCUACUGAGUACUCAGCCUAGGGAUUAAACACUUUUUUAGGUGGGCGACCAAUAGAUUUCAUGACUAUCGAUUGGUCUCAUUACAUACAUGGUCAAUCAGCCGGACUUUAUACCAGACUACCAUGACCUUGUCAAUCGGCCGAACUCUAUACAGGCUACCAUGACCAUUAGACAAGACUAUAGCCCCUACCGUCUAUUCCGUGAUUGUUUUGAGUUUUUCUUGACAUAAAUUCAUUUCACAUGUCACGCGCAUAGUUCUUGAUUUCAUAAAAAAUACAGCUCAUUUGGAAUAUAAUAACAUAUCAAGAAGUUUCAAAUAAGUCGCAUGAUCCAUUUUUUUGUAUAGUCAAAAUAGAACUUGCUUAAAAAGUUAAGUAAAUCAUUUAAUAAAAAACAAUUCAGAUUAACACGUAAAAAUAUAAUCGAUGACAAAAAUUUUACUUUAAACUUUUGAAAUCUCAGAAGGGUAAGUAUCACCUACCUUUGUCUGGCUGCUCGAGUGGAACUACCUCAGGCCUUCUAAACUUGUGUCGUACAGGUCUAGGCACUUAGUUAUCUGCUUGUUCAAUGAUGAUGUCUUCUCCUUCUCCUCUAUUCUUAGUCGAUUCUUGCUCUAAGGGAGGCGGACACGGGAAAGAUAGGAAUGGUGUUAUUUUUCUCUCUAUUGUUUUGAUAAAAAUCCUAAACCCUAGCACUUCCUACUAGUAGGUGGUUUAGAUAAGAGUUUUAGUUUAUUAUGAACUCUUAUCCUGCCUCAUCUCCUUACUAACCCUAAUUACUCCUCUACCCUAUCCUACUAAUAAAUUUAUAUUAUUAUUUUUUUUCCACCCAUAGCAAUUUUUUUAUUUAAUUGAGCAAAAUAAGCUAAAAAAAUGAGCAAGGACGCUGGUUUUUACACCCCUCUCUUUUCUCUAUUCUCUAUGCAUGCAUUUCUGAGUUUCAAUUCUUUUGCAGAUGAAGAUUACGGAUGAGCUACCAGUCGAGGUUUGGUGUUCUAUCCAUCAUCUAGUUCAUUAAAUAUUCUUUUGAAUCUAUAAUCUCCCCUUUAUUUUUUCUUUUCAAACUAUACUUCCUAAUGGAAUUAUUCUUGUGCAGGACAUGGCUAUUCAUGACAGACUGAGUAAGGUAAGCUGUUCUUACCUAUUAAUAUAUAAAUUUAGUGAUACCCUCUUUAUCGAUGUAUUCAAACUACAAUCGUAUGGACGUAUGAUUUGUAGCAUGCAAAUUAAAUAACUUUUGUGCACAUUAAAAAUAUUGUUUGAUUGCAUAGCAUAUUUACGCAGAUUAACUCGACCAAUGUACUAACCUUCCUUUGCUGAUCAUUUUCUUACCUAUAUAUGUCAGUUUGUACUAGAAAGGGCCAGGGAACUUAGCAGUAGUCUGGGCAAAGACCAGAGGCUAAUUAGUUGCGAGAUGGAUACCUCUAAAGCAGUUGACUGUCCACUGGAUCUAGGCGCAGAAAUCUUUAAUGUGAAACGCUCAAGUCCUGGCAGUAAGGCUUCUAAAAUAACAUUCAUGUGGAAGUAUGACGCGUCCCAACAGAGGUUUAUACUGUAGUCCAAAUACC